AGUGUGAGAGAGAGAGAGAGAGAGAGAGAGAGAGAGAGAGAGAGAGAGAGAGAGAGAGAGAGAGAGAGAGAGAGAGAGAGAGAGAGAGAGAGAGAGAGAGAGAGAGAGAGAGAGAGAGAGAUGGUAGGUAAGUGAAUGGGAGCAUAUAUCCCCACCAUGUGGGAUUUGUGGUGCCAUUGUCAUCUAUUGUAUGUUACCACAUCCUUUUUAUUUCAUUCUCCUAAUUAAUUAAGAGAGAAGUGUAUGUACACAUGAAGAGUAUCAUUAUUUCUCCCUUUUGCCCUCCAUAAAUUUUGAAACUGAUUUCGAAUUUUGGAAGUAUUAAUUAAUAAUAUAUGUAAAAUAAAAUAAAAUAAAUGGAGCCUAAUACUGUGAUCUUGACAAGGCAGCCAUAAUAGUGAUAUUUGUACAAGAAUGGAAGUGAAGAAGAAGAAGAUGUAUUUAGGAGAUCGAUCGAGCAAUAUAUGAACGAAAGAUAAUCAGGCAUCAGGUCCACAUUUCGUCUUUGGCCGUAUAGUGUUACAGUCGUUAAGUCGCAUUUCACGAGUCUGAAAAAACAAACAACUAGUCUAUUAUAUUGAAACUGCUCUAUCUACCAUAUACCCCAUCAACCAUUCUUCACAGUUACUACACAUGCCUGGUUUCCCAUUUUCUUUCUUUCUUUUUUUUUAAUUUAUUUAUAUAAUUUUCUGAUCUUACACGAUCACUCGAAUCGGGUGUAUACAGCUCGAGAGUUGAGCAUCCGAGCUAUUGAGAAUGCAAAGGCCUACGAACGGUUUACUUUUAUUUACUCGAGCUUCGUGUUGACAAAACAAAAAUGUAUGUACAUCUAACAUCAACUAUAUAUAUGUAAAACACACUUAAAGUACUACUUGACACAUUCGGCAAUAAAUUCAUCUAAGAUUUUGAAGUGUUGGUAGUGUCUUUUUUUUCGGAUGUGUGCCUAUUUUUUGUGAUAUGCCUUAACGGGCUAGCUCAGUAAGCCAAUGAGUAUUUGGGCCAUCUAAACGACCCGAUCUUUCAUCUACCUACAAGAUCACUAAUUAAUGGUUCAAUUCUAUUAAUAAGAAGUUGUAAGCUCAUUAGAGUUUAUUGAUCCUACUUAGAAUUCUACUCUAAUGAGAAUUCUACUAAUCAAACUAUACAUAACCAACAGGAUUUGGCGUCAGAGGAGUUUCUAUCGGAUCAACAUCAGGCUUAAUUUACGUGAGCUUAUCUUGCAGAUUCAAGGCACAAACAUUCUAGGGCUCCUCAUAUUGUAGCAAUGACUUCGCUUAAAUCACCUACUCGCAUGCACGUAUCUACACUAGCAUUCUAAUUUAAUCUACCCCAAGUAUGUGACAUCACAUCAUUUUGUUAAUUGCUAAUUUUAGUCAUUGUUUGUGAUAUGUUAUCGUAGCUCGACGGAAAUAUUGAUGUCUCGAUUACUAGUCAUUUAUUUAUCGGUACUAUUAUCGGUCUCGCGAUGGUCUAAUUAGAAUUAGGACUUAACAUAAAAAAAAUAGAAAAAAUGAAUCGAAUAUUUGGUUUAUUUUCCACCAUGCUAAUUAAUUAUAGUUAUUAAUUUAUUAUUAAUAUAUAUUAAAAAUCAUGGAUCUAUAAGAAGACGCCACCCCCAACUCCCUACCUAAACUCUCUCCUCUACAACACACACACACACACAUAAAUACAGUUGAGCUAUCCUAACUAUCUCUGAACAGUAACAUAAGUACUCCCCCAACUUCUCUCUCUUCCCUCUCUCUCUCUCUCUCUCUCUCUCUCUAUACUUUCUUAUUCUUUGUCUGUAAAUUAAAUUAUGUAAAAAACCAUGGCAAGAAAUCUCAAUUUCUGCUUCACGAAGAUCAAAUCUCUACAAUCCCCAGAACACAAUCUCCAAGAAAAUCACAGCCAUCCAUUCCCCAACCCCUCCCCAUCCCUCCUCAUCAAGAACUUCAACUCCCUCUACGAGAACUUCAACGCCGCCGCAUCGGAAAACCAGUCCCCGCCGCCGGAUUCCGGGGCAACCACCGACUCCGCCGCCAUGCCGGAUUUCACCACCGCCUUCGCUUCCCGGCGCUUCUUCUUCUCCUCCCCCGGCCGCUCCAACUCGAUCAUCGACUCCUCCUCCUCCCUCGCAUCCACGUCAUCCUCCACCUCACUGAACCUCCCUCCGGAAAACGACACCGUUUCGAGCGGCAGCAUCGCCGUCCCCACCUACUCGCCGGACCCAUUCAUGGACUUCCGGCGAUCGAUGCAGGAAAUGGUGGAGGCGCGUGAAAUCGACGACGUGAGAGAGAACUGGGAUUACCUGCAUGAACUCCUAAUGUGCUACCUCUCUCUAAACCCGAAAAGCACGCACAAAUACAUCGUCGGCGCUUUCGCCGAUCUCCUAGUCAGCCUCAUGACGUCACCGCCGGAAAACAGCCGCCGGAAAACACCAAUAUUCCCCGACGGAAAAUGCAAGAUUCCGCCGCAAUAUAUGUAAAAAGAAAAAAAGUACACACCGGUAACUCAAAUCAUUUUCAACAAAAAUUUUUUUACAUAUAAAUAAAUGUAAUAAAUUUAUUUAAUAAAUAUAUAAAUAAAUAUAUAUUAUGUGGGGAUGAUAUGAAAUGAAUUGGUGAUAUAAAAGCAGUUGGUCCCCCGCCUGCUGUAUUGAAUGAUAUUAAUAUAUAUAUUAUUCAGUUCAUCUUAUCCUAUUACAGCAUUCAAUUUAUUUUUGUUUUUUCCAUUUUCAUACUCUUUCAUCUGCCAUUGUUAAAAGCCUGGUUUUGUAUUCUGAACCCCUAUACCACCAAAAAGCUGUGCCUAUAUCAUUCAAUAAUUUAUUUAUUUAUUUAUUUUAUUUUUAUUUAUUUUUCAGGUAUGCUAAAUAUUUAUCAUUGUAAAAUUGGAAUUACAUAGUCAUGAUGUUUCUUUCCUGAACAUUUAAUUUCCAUGUGAUAAUUAGAUUUGGUUUCCUUGCUGGUCCAGCACUACUGCGCCCAAACUUUACCUAAGUUUUUUAUCUUCAUUUUUGUUUCACCUAAAUUAAUUAAUGAAUAAAAAAAAAAUCAUUGUUCAUCUCAUCUUGUCUGGUCCUACAUUAAGAGAUGUAAUUUCUAGGAUUAUUUGUUAUUACUUAUUAGCAGCAGAAUCAUUUUGAUUAGACAGUUUAACAUAUAUACCUUUGCCAACAAUGUUUUCCAUAUAUUAGUAUUUUUCUUCAGGGUAAAGCUAUUUAGUCUUUUACUUAAAACUUAAAACAUUGCCUAUAUUGUAUUAGUAUUUUUUUUAAUUUGUUUUGUAAUUAAAUCAGUUUUUCAGAACAACUACUGUCCUUACAAGAUUCAAUUGUGGCUGAAUGGAAAAUGUACUUCUAAUGAAACAAAAUUUGUGGGCUCAUUGUUUUGUGCAUAAAAGCCAAACCACUUUCAAUCUAAAUUUUUCAUGCAAUCGAUUUUACCGACAACCCUCGUUAUAAUAUAUCGAUUAAUUUUGUUUUAUCAGAAGAAAACAAAAUAGUUACUGAUAAAAGAUUUUCCUAAACUUGUCCUUGCUCAUGAAAUAAAAGGUGUCAUCUGUGCUUGAUUGAAGCAAGUAAGAAUCUUUCAAGUCCGAACAAAAACGUUUUACAAUUGUUGUUGGUGAAAAAAACAGUAAUAAUGAUAAUAAUGAAACCCAAAUAGUAAUUAAUUAAAAAGCAAGUAGGAUCCACACACUCAGACAAAAUCAGGGAAUCUUGAAUUUGUUUUUGAUAACAUCUGUAUUGAUAUUUGCUGUUGUCUGAAAAUUUAAUUGUUUUUCUUAGAGACUAGGGAUAGGUCGCACUCAGUAUUGAAGAUUCUAUGGUUCUAUAUUAGUGAAGUGCCAUGUGAGUUACUAAACUGGAAAAUGACUUGUUUUUUUACGACAAGUUGUUCAUUAUACAAAUUGUUUCGAAUUGAAUUAUUGCUAUGAUAGUAUAAACUGGAGUAGUUAGAUGUUACGCACAAGUAAUUUACACUAAUUGGAUUUCAAACGUAGAUCUACACAUACGGUGUUAUUUAAUCAAAUCGACGGUCGAAAUCCAGCAACAGUGAAUAGCCAAGUGUAGCAUCUAACCCCGCUAUAGACUACUUAUACCCAGAUUAUUAAAAUCAAAUUAGUCAAUGUAAGAUUAUACAAUGUCUUGAGCAGAGAACAGAGUCUAAUUUUUUGAUUGAUCCUACACCUAUUAUAUCACAUGGUCAUUUGGGCAAACAAAUAUUUCGACCAUUAAGAGCUGGUACAGAAUUGAGCCUUAAUUAUUACACUAAAAUUGGGCUUUUACAAUCUAAACCUAGUCUAAAUCAUUUAUGACAUUUAUUGUUGAAUAAAGUUAAAUUAUAUGGGGCAAUGGUGGCAAAAUGGAAUUUAAUUAAAAAAAAUGGGAGAAAAAAUGAAACUCUUACCACACAAAAUUUGUCUUUAAAAGUCAUAAAAAAUAAAAAGCACGAGUCCAAAACUUGAAAUUCAGAACAGGGAUAAUAAAGCAUGUAACAUCUCAAGAUUGGAGUAAAAGCCUAAAACCAAAUAAAACUAGUCAUCAAAAUAACAUAGAAACAAGAAGAAGAAGAAGAAAACACUCAUCGCUUCUUGGAGACACCAACAGUCUUUCCCCUACGACCAGUAGUCUUGGUGUGCUGUCCACGCACGCGAAGACCCCAGUAGUGACGGAGCCCACGGUGGUUCCUAUUCAUUUGCAAAUAAAAUAAAAUUAAAAAAUUUGAUAAAUCAAACCAAAUAUUGUUUAUUAGUUUAAAAAAAAAAGAUAAAGUGGGAAGUGAAAAAAGGAACCUGAUCUUCUUCAAACGCUCGAGAUCAUCCCUGAGCUUCAUGUCCAAAGCAUUGGAUGUAACUUGAGAAAACUUUCCAUCCUUGUAAUCCUUCUUUCUGUUCAAGAACCAGUCUGGAAUCUUGAACUGACGAGGAUUCGCCACAAUAACCAUCAAGCUAUCAAUUUCAGCAUUUGAAAGUUCACCAGCCCUGACAAAUAUUACGUACACAACGUCAGAUUUACUUCCAUAAAGACACCUCGUCAUAUAAUAGGAAGAAUGUAAAAGGUUCACAACCAGAGAGAACAAACUAACAAGAAUCUCGCAAGUAACUAUCGUCAAAAUACNNNNNNNNNNNNNNNNNNNNNNNNNNNNNNNNNNNNNNNNNNNNNNNNNNNNNNNNNNNNNNNNNNNNNNNNNNNNNNNNNNNNNNNNNNNNNNNNNNNNNNNNNNNNNNNNNNNNNNNNNNNNNNNNNNNNNNNNNNNNNNNNNNNNNNNNNNNNNNNNNNNNNNNNNNNNNNNNNNNNNNNNNNNNNNNNNNNNNNNNNNNNNNNNNNNNNNNNNNNNNNNNNNNNNNNNNNNNNNNNNNNNNNNNNNNNNNNNNNNNNNNNNNNNNNNNNNNNNNNNNNNNNNNNNNNNNNNNNNNNNNNNNNNNNNNNNNNNNNNNNNNNNNNNNNNNNNNNNNNNNNNNNNNNNNNNNNNNNNNNNNNNNNNNNNNNNNNNNNNNNNNNNNNNNNNNNNNNNNNNNNNNNNNNNNNNNNNNNNNNNNNNNNNNNNNNNNNNNNNNNNNNNNNNNNNNNNNNNNNNNNNNNNNNNNNNNNNNNNNNNNNNNNNNNNNNNNNNNNNNNNNNNNNNNNNNNNNNNNNNNNNNNNNNNNNNNNNNNNNNNNNNNNNNNNNNNNNNNNNNNNNNNNNNNNNNNNNNNNNNNNNNNNNNNNNNNNNNNNNNNNNNNNNNNNNNNNNNNNNNNNNNNNNNNNNNNNNNNNNNNNNNNNNNNNNNNNNNNNNNNNNNNNNNNNNNNNNNNNNNNNNNNNNNNNNNNNNNNNNNNNNNNNNNNNNNNNNNNNNNNNNNNNNNNNNNNNNNNNNNNNNNNNNNNNNNNNNNNNNNNNNNNNNNNNNNNNNNNNNNNNNNNNNNNNNNNNNNNNNNNNNNNNNNNNNNNNNNNNNNNNNNNNNNNNNNNNNNNNNNNNNNNNNNNNNNNNNNNNNNNNNNNNNNNNNNNNNNNNNNNNNNNNNNNNNNNNNNNNNNNNNNNNNNNNNNNNNNNNNNNNNNNNNNNNNNNNNNNNNNNNNNNNNNNNNNNNNNNNNNNNNNNNNNNNNNNNNNNNNNNNNNNNNNNNNNNNNNNNNNNNNNNNNNNNNNNNNNNNNNNNNNNNNNNNNNNNNNNNNNNNNNNNNNNNNNNNNNNNNNNNNNNNNNNNNNNNNNNNNNNNNNNNNNNNNNNNNNNNNNNNNNNNNNNNNNNNNNNNNNNNNNNNNNNNNNNNNNNNNNNNNNNNNNNNNNNNNNNNNNNNNNNNNNNNNNNNNNNNNNNNNNNNNNNNNNNNNNNNNNNNNNNNNNNNNNNNNNNNNNNNNNNNNNNNNNNNNNNNNNNNNNNNNNNNNNNNNNNNNNNNNNNNNNNNNNNNNNNNNNNNNNNNNNNNNNNNNNNNNNNNNNNNNNNNNNNNNNNNNNNNNNNNNNNNNNNNNNNNNNNNNNNNNNNNNNNNNNNNNNNNNNNNNNNNNNNNNNNNNNNNNNNNNNNNNNNNNNNNNNNNNNNNNNNNNNNNNNNNNNNNNNNNNNNNNNNNNNNNNNNNNNNNNNNNNNNNNNNNNNNNNNNNNNNNNNNNNNNNNNNNNNNNNNNNNNNNNNNNNNNNNNNNNNNNNNNNNNNNNNNNNNNNNNNNNNNNNNNNNNNNNNNNNNNNNNNNNNNNNNNNNNNNNNNNNNNNNNNNNNNNNNNNNNNNNNNNNNNNNNNNNNNNNNNNNNNNNNNNNNNNNNNNNNNNNNNNNNNNNNNNNNNNNNNNNNNNNNNNNNNNNNNNNNNNNNNNNNNNNNNNNNNNNNNNNNNNNNNNNNNNNNNNNNNNNNNNNNNNNNNNNNNNNNNNNNNNNNNNNNNNNNNNNNNNNNNNNNNNNNNNNNNNNNNNNNNNNNNNNNNNNNNNNNNNNNNNNNNNNNNNNNNNNNNNNNNNNNNNNNNNNNNNNNNNNNNNNNNNNNNNNNNNNNNNNNNNNNNNNNNNNNNNNNNNNNNNNNNNNNNNNNNNNNNNNNNNNNNNNNNNNNNNNNNNNNNNNNNNNNNNNNNNNNNNNNNNNNNNNNNNNNNNNNNNNNNNNNNNNNNNNNNNNNNNNNNNNNNNNNNNNNNNNNNNNNNNNNNNNNNNNNNNNUUGCUGAAACAGCAUAGUUAAAUUUCAUGCGAAGAAUUGAACAUAUUUGCAAAAACUUGAUAACUAACAAGUUAACUACUAGAUCUGAAAGAAAAAACACGUUGAGCAAAAAAUAGUAGCAAUCAUUUCAAUACAUCAAAAUUUGCCUAACGCUAUACAAUAAAGUAUGUAGUGAAACAUGCAGAACAAUACAGAAAAGAAUGAUUAAUAAACAUCAAAAUUACCCUGAUAAGCCUGUAUUUAGGCUCGAAUUUCUUUGCAUUCUCAACAGAAUCGUAGAUCAAGCCAAAUCCGGUAGACUUUCCUCCACCAAAAUGGGUCCUGAAUUUGAACACAAAGAUGGCAUUCGGGUCCUUAACCUCGUACAUCCUCGCCAAUUUCUCCUUCAACUCAGCCUUCAAAAGAAAUUACAUAAAGAAAUAAGAUCACACCGCAAAUGUUCCGUACAAUCUAAUUAUUUCUCCUACCACUAAAUAUUUAACAAAAACCAAAACUGAAAAUGGAUUCCUCUACAUUGAGUUAUCAACAUAUCGUCAAGCACCUGGACGGGCAUCGCACUAAGUUGAUGUAAUAAGUAUUGUUUUCUGUAUUGACUAAAUUUCAUUAAUCUACAGAUUAUGGGAAUCAUACAACUACAAAACCACAUUUGAAUAAUAAAUUAUGUAUGAUUUUCUGAAUUAAAUCAUAGACUUCCAAUACAAAAACAAACAAAAGUAUAAAACCUAAAACAACUUAAAUUUAGUAUAAUAAAAAGACUGAACCUUGGAAACAUUAGGCCUUCCUGGGUGCAACACGUCAAUGACCUAAAAAGCAGAAGCGCAAAUGAAAAUUGGAGUAAGAAUAAAAAAUCAAAAGUAAAAACGUUACAGACAAGCAUUACAAAACAUAUAUACAUUAGAGUACAUACAAAUUGUUUCCUGGAAAGAAGACGAUUUGUCAUAAACUUCCUUGUUCUGAUAGUCACUGCCUUGUCCGCCAUUUUCUGCCCAAAAAAAACAGAUAAUAACCUAAUUACAUUCAAUUUCAAUCUAAAUCACGAAAUCAAGCAAUCUAUCUGCAGAUAAUAGAUGGAUCGUGAUGAAGAGAACAUGUAAUUACCGGUGUUGUUUAAGGAGAUUCAAGCCGUGACGCGCCGCCGCCGAGUGGUGCUGAUCUUGAGAAGCUUACUGAUGUGUUUCUGCUCGUGAGGCGUUUUAGCUUUGAAAAAUGGUACAAGACUGUAAAAUUAGGGUUUUGUGGUGUGAAGUAUGAACCCUACCUCAACGGUGAAAUGGGCCUAAUUUAUUUGGGCUCAAAUUCAACUUAAGUUUAUUAUCUGAUUCCAUGGGCUUUCAAAUUAAAUUUCUAUACUUUCCCGGAUAUACCCCUGCUAAUGGAUUUAAUUUUGAACAAUUAAAUUUAAUAUUAAUUAAGAUUAUAACAAAAAUACAGUUUGUUUGAAUCCCUUCAUUAAAGUUUUAUUAUCUAUAAUAAUUUUUUAAUUCCUCAAAAUUUUAAAAUAUUCGCUUUAUGUUGACUUCUUAGACUGUAAUUAAGCUCGCAAUUAAAGAACAUUUUUCACAAUGAUUAUCGUUCAAUAAUUUUUAAAUUAAUUAUUCAUGGUAGGAGCCUUUUAUACCUCUGAUUUGAUAGUAAAACAUUUUUUUUUAAAUAAAUUACUAAUUACCAUCAUUAUCUUCAACUAAUCUCAACUGCAAUGACUUCUUUCUCUUUUAAUAUUGAUUGGUAAGAACUGAAAUUCUAAACAAACAGUGAAAAUAAUGCUAAAAUCAAUAUUCCCCAUUAACAAAAUUCAGGAUGACUAGAAAAAUAAUACAGAACUAAAUAAAAAGAGCUGGAAAAUAAAAUUAAUAAUUUCUUAUCAUCUAAGAAAAUUUGGCAUCCGAAUCAACAAGAAGCUUCCACAGUGCGUGCACAUCUUCACAUGAACACGACUUCACAUCAUCGUACAAAACAUAUAUUCCUCGGCCUGAAUCAAACGAAAUUGACAAUGUUAUAAUUUUAUUCAGAGUAUACAUCGGCACUGCUGCACUGCAUGAAAGUUAAAACAAACACGACGAUUUUGAGAGAAAUGAUUACGCGUUCUUUUGGUUGACCGGAGUCUGCCCCAGAACUUCUUCAGAGGGGAUAAUAGAAGAGAAUGAAGCCAACGUCCCAUUAGAAUAAAUUAUGUGGAAAGGUUGGAAUGAAAUUAAAGAGAAUUUUACAAUGUAGUUUUCUACAUAUAUACAAGUGAAAAAAGUUUUAUAGAUCACUGUGCCAUUAAUAUAGUUUUAAUCCAGUAAAGUUUUGCAGCGAAAAUUUAAACAUUUUUUUGUAGGUCGAGAGUUGAGACUAUUGCACGAAAUAAGAAUUUGUUUACUUAGACUAUUGGUACGACGUCGUUGUUGAAUUAAUUGCAAAUCAAAAGCUCCUAAGAGAAGGAAGUAAUAAAUAUACUCCCACUAUUGGUUAAAUUGAUUCAUGCAUUCAUUUAAUAAGGAUAAUUGGCUUUAAUGAGAAUUUUCUAUCUGUUCAUAUUGGCUUCCAAGUCUACUUUUUUAGGGAAAAUUGGUAAAUUAAGUCUGUCAAUUCUUGGACAAGCUCUCUUCUCGUUAAAAUCCAUGAAGCUGUCGGUUAUUUUUAUGCUACACCCAGAAAAAGUUAUACCGUAUGUUUUUCUUCCCACUCAGUGUAUUUCACUUUGUAUAGCACUAUUUGGGCUGGUUCUAACUAUGCCCUUGUUCCUUCUGAAAAUUGAAGGUUCUGAUAUUGAUUUAUAUAUUAGGUAGAAGUUAACAUAACAUUGUGGUAAAGCCCAUUUAAGAUUCUUCUCCAUCGAAGCCCAAUUAAAAAGCCCAGCCCACUAGUUAUUUUUUGUUUUGUUUGGGAAAAAUUCAGAGUCCAGAUUGGCAAUUGAAAAGCGUGUUUAUAUUGAACAGCACCACCGACUAAAGGCGUGAUUGACCAAAAAAAAGAAGAAAAAAAGAAAAAAAAAAAGAGAAAGUACAUAAUGACAAAACGACAGCGUUGCAUCACCGGUCGGGUUAAAUUUCAAAUUCAGUCUCUCAAUUCGAUCCUCUGAGAUCCCUAAUGGGAAGAAUUUCCUCAGCCGUAGAAAUCCCUGAACGCCGUCGCCCACUCAGCCACCGCGAGGAUGGCCGCUCUUCUCCCGAUUCCCGCUACCAUCGGCGCAACGUUAGUUACAGCCGGAGCCGGAGCCCCAGCCUUAACCGCCACCACCGCCGUAGCCCCAGCCCUCGCCCUAAUCGGGACCGCCGCCGUAGCCCUAGCCCUAACCGUGACCGGCGCCGUAUCCCCAGCCCUAACCGCGUCCUCCGCCGUAGCUUCAGCCGAAGUAGGAGCCGGAGUGGAAGCCCCAUAAGAAACGGACAAAACAGGAACUUCCGUUCUUCUCCGGAUUACUCGUACCCUGUUCACGGAGAAAACCAAAUUUCUGUCGACCAAAAGAAAUUCAAUUUUGAUAAUAGAAAACAACCCUACCUCGACCGAGAUAGUAGGAACGGACAAUUCCCUGAGCCUGAGUCUGAUGAAGAAUUAAAGGGUCUUCCUUAUGAAGAAUAUCGCAGGCUCAAGCGUCAGAAAUUGAGAAAAUUGAUGAGGAACAGUAUUUGGAAUUGCACCCCUAGCCCCCCUAGGGAUCCAAAUGAAAAUUCGGAUGCGGAGCUGGACGAGGAUCUUGUUGCCGAAGAGGAAAAACAGACCAAGGUGUUGAAAGCUGUGGCGAAAAAAUCGAAAAAGAGCGACUCUGAGUCCGAGAGUGAGGAGUCUGAAUCUGAGUCAGAUGAUUCUAGGUCGAAGAGGGGCAGGAAAUCUGGCUCUAGGAAGAAGAAGAGUAGGAGAGCGAAAUCAGUUUCGGAGAGUGAAAGUGUAUCUGAGCAAUCGAGUGAUGAAGAUUCGGAGGAAGAUAGGAAGAGGAAAAAGAAGGGUGGAAAAAAGAGUAGGAAAGGAAGGAGUAGCAAACGCAGUAGUAGGAGAAAGAGAAGCAGCAGGAAGAAGAGCUUAACCAGCGAAAGCGAGAGCGCAAGUGAUGAUUCCGAAACAAGUGCUGGUGCAAAGUCGAAGCAGCGGAAACACAGGUCAUCUUCAAGGUCGAAAAAGGGCAAGAAAAAGAGAGAAGUCGACAGCGAGAAUUCUGAUUCAAACGGGAGUGCUUCUGAUCAAGAAGCUGGUGGAAAGGAGUUGGUCCACAAGGCAGAUGAGGUCAAGGUUAACGAUGAAAUGGAUGAUGAGCUACUCAUCUUUAAAGAAAUGAUGGAACUACGAAAGAAAUCCAACAACUUGGAGGAGGAGCAAGUGGUCGGUCCAAUGCCGCUGCCGAGGGCAGAAGGACAUAUCAGCUAUGGUGGUGCACUCAGGCCCGGUGAGGGUGACGCUAUUGCGCAGUAUGUUCAGCAAGGGAAGCGUAUCCCACGUAGAGGAGAAGUGGGUCUUUCAGCAGAGGAGAUUUCGAAGUUCGAGACACUUGGUUAUGUUAUGAGUGGUAGUAGGCAUCAGAGGAUGAAUGCCAUUCGUAUCAGAAAAGAGAACCAGGUUUACAGUGCUGAGGACAAACGGGCUUUGGCUAUGUUUAACUACGAGGAGAAGGCGAAGCGCGAGCAGAAGGUUAUGGCUGAUUUGCAGAGGCUGGUGCAGCGGCAUAUUGGGCAGGAUACUGGUCCUUCUCAUGAUCCGUUCGGUGGAAGGGCUGUCGAGGGGGCUGAUGAUUGAUUCUGCGUACUACUGUUGCUGUAUGCGUAUCUCUACUUUAUCCCUUUUAGGAUAUUCCUUUUUUCUGCUUUAUGAUGAUGUAUAAGUAUGCCAUGUUGUUGUGAUGGAUGCAUUUCGUGACAAUUAUUAUGCAGAAAUUGUGCUAAAGCUUUCGGAUUUUGAUUUUUCUUUUGAAAUCUUUUCUUUAAGUAAUGAUAUAGUGGAGAACGCCCUCAUUGGAAUUACGUUUGGUUCUUAGUUUUGGAGAUUUGUGCUUUUGUGUGUUUGCUUGUUAUUUUUUUCUAGUUGGUAUGAAACUCGAUAUUUUUUGAAGCUGCGCGGAGUCUAGUUAUUGAAAGGGUGUUUUUAGAUAUUAUGCUAGGCGAUCAGUAAGUCAUAAUUAUACUGUAUAUAGCUUACGUGAACUUAGUUUGGCAUAUGUCGACGAAAAUAUAAUUGUGCAUCUGUGCAACAAUGUGCUGGUCUUGUAUAUGUGCACUAAAACAAUGUUUUGGAUCCUUAUAAGGUUUACAUGGGGAAUUGGUUUUAUAUGUAGCCGAAAGUUCUAAGUUAGUUCUACUAUUUUGAAAUUUCUGCUUAUAAAAUAGGGGAAUUCACAUUAAAUGUAGUAAGUGUUAGGUAUAGACUAUGGAUUCUAACUCUUCUGGUUGACAGUAUGUAUACGUUUAUGUGUUUUAUUAAGUGGUGGAGUUUGUCGAACCCUUUAUUGAUGUAAUCGGAUAACAGUAACACAAUCAAAACCGAAGCCCGAAAUAAUCUAAUGUUUUAUGGAUUGAUUCAGUAAUUAUCUGAAGUUUAUUCAAUUAUAUUAUAUGGAUACUAAUCUGGUUUUCGAGCAGUUAUAAGGUAGGUAUUUUCUUGAUCAAAGGUUCUUUGGCCAGUUAGAUUGUGGUUUAUUAACUGCAUUAUUCUGCGUUUUCUCUUUGCCCCUCUAGUAAGCAACUAUAGGGGCCCUUGUGUUGAUUCCUCAGGAGAAUCUACACAUAAUUUGGUCUGAACAUUACAAGAACAAAAUCAAUACGAGUUAUCAUCGCUUGUGUUUUGUUCUUCUUAGAUCCCACGUUUUCAUCAUUUGUGUUUCACCUCUCUCGGACUUAAUGUGAUUUGUGAUUAUCUAUAUAAUUACUUUCUCUUCUUACAGAAAUUAAUACGUUUUAUUAUUUCUUCAAUCGGGCAUGCAUUCGGAUAUUAUCUAUGUUUCGAUUUUCGAAAAUAAAUAGCACAUGGGAAGUAAAUGUGGCGUAUAAGUUAAAAUGAGUUUUGUCUUCUGAAGAACAUGUGAGGUAGGGUUUCAUUUCAUACCCAGCUUUGGCCUUAUUUAACUAUAAAAUCAAGCAAAAUUAUUGCAUGAUUAAUGAUUACGGCUGCUGAUAGUUAUGAUUAGGUAUGAUGGUUUGGUCCCCCUAAUAUAUAUAUAUAUAUAUAUAUAUAUAUAUAUAUAUAUAUAUAUAUAUAUAUAUAUAUAUAUAUAUAUAUAUAUAUAUAUAUAUAUAUAUAUAUAUAUAUAUAUAUAUAUAUAUAUAUAUAUAUAUAUAUGUAAAAGAAGAAAUUAAUAAUAACAAUAAUGCUUAAGAGUUAAGAAUCAAGGGUUUGAAUGCUAAUGAACACCUUUGUCUUGUACAUUACAAAAUGAAAUCCAGUAUUGUACUUCUAUAGUAAAUGUGAGGGGUACAACGAAAAUUCAAUGACAACAAAAGUUAAGGCAAAAAGUACUUGAAAGCCUGAGAAACAUCAAGGAUGUAGUAGUUUCUUGAUUUAAAUGCUAAAUUCUUUCCAUUUUUAAUGAUCUUGUUCCAUUGUUUUGCAUUAGAUUAUGUUACUUAACAUGAAUGGUUAUAAAAUAAGUUUUGAUUUAUUAUAAAUAAAUAAAUAAAGAUGAAGUCCUGAUUUUUGCAUUUCAAUUUUUUCUUUAUUUUGUUAUAUUAUUUAAUGGAGACACCACAUAUGUAUCCACAUUUUCAAGAAGCUGUAAGAGAGUGAUGGGUUGCCAAAUUGCAUGGGACAGUUGAUGGUUCAUUACUAUUGGGGAAUUAUAUAAAUAUUAAUUAAUUAAUUAAAUAUUUUUUUAAGUUUCCAAUUUUGUUUUGAUGCACAUACCUCGUGGCCAAUGCAUAUUUGUGGGGGUAUGCCACUCUUGAAAUAUCAUUUUCCUACUUAAUUUAGUGUUAAAAGAACCCCCUAACCUUUCUUUCAAUAAUACUAAUUCUAACAAGUGGAGGGGCAAAAUAAAGAUAUAUUCAAAUAUUUUAUUUAGUAAAAGAUUUUAGUGAUCAUUAUUCAUUUAUAGGUAUAGGGUUAUUUCAAUGCUACACUCGAUGAAUGUUACACCGUGUGGAUUUUUAUAGUUGAUUUACACAUAUCAAUAUGAGUGUGUGUAUAUGAAUAGUAAGAUCUAUCUGGUGUAUUUCACUCGGUGUAGCGUAGUAUAAACCGAUAGGCAUGCAUUGCUCAAGUACUUCACUUUUAUCGUGCCUUAAAUAUGAAGUGAAAACUAACUCAAAAAGGGUAUUUAAAAGCCAUGAUUAAAGUAUACAAUCUUGUGCUGCAAAAAUGAUGCAAAUAAUUUGUUCCUCAAACCUAAUAAAUCCAAUAUUUUAAGACAUGGAUACAAUGUAAAGACAGCCAAAACUGUGGGGCUUUCAUCUUCUCUUUCUUGCAUUAAAAACUGCCCAUCUUCCAGCUUAGUUAGUUGCCCUUUUCUCUCUUCAAUUGGAUAUUUUCUUUGUCUUUUACUUCUCACUCAUCCCCCUUUUUCUCUCUUCCCACCUUCUUCAUUCUUCUCACACCAUUUUCAAUCACCAUAACAAAAUUUUGCUUCACUUUCUUGAUAUAUAUAUAAUCAUCUCUUUGCUUCGUAUUUUCAAGAACCGAGAGCGAUAAGUUGCGUAUUAGGAUCAAGAAGCGGUUUUUUCGUUAUGGUGAAAAUGAAAGAGUUCCCUUCUUGUUUCGGUGAGAGUGGUGUUCAGAUUGCAUCUUCAUCGAGUGCAAGUAAUAAAUCUGCAGCUCAAAAUCUUGUGACAUGCAUCUACCAUUGCCAUUCCGCUACCGUUUUCCGGCUUCAUCACAGUGACAUGGAUCAAGCAUAUCAUGGCACAAGGGCUCACAAUCGGAAUCGAGAAUCCCAGCCAAACAGCCCCUCUGCAAAGUCGAAAUCAAACCGUGGCUAUUCUCAAAGAGAAAAGGGUCCAAAAACUUAGUGGUGAACUCCACAACAAUCGAUAUCCAUUGGGACUUAUCUUGUGCUAAAUUCGGUGCCAGCCCGGAACCAUUGGAGGGUUUCCACCUAUCCGUUGCCCUAAAUCAAGAACUAUGCUUACUCCUCGGAGACUCACCAAGAGGGGCCCACAAAAGGACCGACGACUCAUCGCUAUCACUCCCUAAAGCAACUUUCGUCGCUAAAAGAGAGCACAUAUUCGGGAAGAAAUUGUACAAUUCGAAGGCGCAGUUUUACGACAAGGGGAAGAUGCAUGAUAUCAGAAUCGAGUACGAUUCGAGUGAGAGCUUCGGUAAGUGCUUGAAUAUGUAUAUUGAUCGAAAGGAGGUGUUGCAAGUGACACAUCUUAAGUGGAAGUUUAGAGGGAAUCAAUCUAUUUUGGUGGACGGAGUUUCGGUUGAAGUUUAUUGGGAUGUUUAUAGCUGGCUUUUCGAUAGUGUGGUGGGGAAUGCGAUUUUCUUGUUUAGAAGUCAUGUGGCGGAAAAGAAGCUGUGGAGUAAUCGGUCCCCGUUCGAGCCGUUUGCGUUGAAAAGAAGUCAAGAUAAUUCAGAUUUAUCACAAGGUCAUGGUUUUUCACUUGUUUUAUGUGCGUGGAAGAAUGAAUAAGCAAGUUUGUAACUCUAAUUUUUUUUUGAGUUAUUAUUGACUUUGUUGUGAGUGAAAUAUAUCUUCAAUUAGUUUUCUUGUAGCUAGUUUGGAGAUUCUGUAUUUGAAAUCGUUGUUCGUUUUUGUUCUAUGCUAUAAUCGAUGAAAUUCACCAAGUUAUAUUUUAAUAUAUCCCGUGAAUCAAAUGUAUAAAAUUGUUCGAUAUAUUUAACCAGGUGUAACAGCUCGAUGAUAUAUAAGUAAAAAAUCUUGUUGAUUCUUAUUGAUUCUUCAACUGGAAUUUCAAGAAACGAAGAUGUUAUUAAUUCCCCAUUUUCAGUUGAGAUAUAUAUAUAAUAUAUAUAUAAAAUAUAUAUAACCGUCAAUCUCUAUCCACUAUUUUUGCCAUCUUUUCAAUUCAGGUUUCGUUGAACCCAAGAAAAAACCUUCCAUUUUCUCUCUCUCCCAAUGGCGAACGCCGCCGCCGUGCUGCUCUCUCUCACCCCUCGUAAUCAGUUUCCUUUCCGCCGCCGAAUCAACCCCACCGCUGCCACCGUACGCCAACUACACAUCCCUCACCGCCACCAUCCUCUCCACCCUAGGCUUCCGCGACCUCGUCGCCGCCGGCGCGGCCAGCCUCUCCGCCGCCACGCCCACCACCAUCUUCGCACCCACCGACUCAUCCCUCCUCACGUGCCCCACGUGCUGCAUCCCUCUCCUCCUUCAAGAACACUCUGUUCCCGGCCUCUACCCACUCCACUUCCUGCGCACGUUAGCCUUCGGCACUAAGAUCGGCACUUUCGCCGCCAACCGCUGCCUCACCGUCACCACCACCUCCUCCGCCGCCGCUAGCAAGGAAGUCUUCAUCAACGGAGUCGAAAUCACAAAGCCCGACCUCUACAACAACGGGNNNNNNNNNNNNNNNNNNNNNNNNNNNNNNNNNNNNNNNNNNNNNNNNNNNNNNNNNNNNNNNNNNNNNNNNNNNNNNNNNNNNNNNNNNNNNNNNNNNNCAUCGUCCACGGCUUACAGGGCUUGGUCUCGCACUUAUCUCCGCGUUCUUGCACCGUCGAAAGCAUGACUUCUUUGUCCCUCCCCCAACGGCCGCCGCCCACGGCGGCGUUCCUCACAAUGCACUUCAUGCUGAAAGACGCCAUGACGACACUGCGCACCACCGGGUACAGUAUAGUCGCAUUGGCGAUGCGGGUCAAGUAUUCGGAGCUUUCGGACCUCAAAACCCUGACCCUUUUCGCCAUCGACGAUGAAUCCAUCUUCCUGGAAGGCGGCGGAAGCCACGCCUACGUGGCGGAGCUAGGGUUCCACAUUCUGCCCAACAGGCUCCUGACGGCGGCGGAUUUGAUUAGCCUGCCGAGAGGCACGGCGUUGCCGACAAUGGAACCUGGUCGGGAUCUGGUGGUGACCAGCUCCGGCGACGGAGGGCCAGUGGCACCGACGAGGAUCAAUUAUGUGAAGGUGAAGAGAUUUGAUCUGGUGCGGAACCAGAGGAUUGUGGUUCAUGGACUGUCAACGCCGUUCCGCCACGUGGACUGUCAUGGCUUGUGAAAGUCACUUGAAUUCAGUGUUACGUAGUUUGUAAAAUUGAACCUAUUAUUUUUUUUAAUUGGCUGUAAUUCACAAAAAUGCAUACUUCAAUGAAAUUGGAUAUAUACUCUGUUAUAUAGCAAAGCUUUAUGCUUCAUUCUCUGUUUCAAUUCCACAUGCAAUUUUCCCAUUACCGACCAUAUUUGUAAACUGAUACUAAUUUUCUAACCAACCAAUUGAAUCGGCCCGAAAAUUUCAAAUGGGUCGGUUUAUGUAUUAAUAGUAUGUGCUGGCAGGAUUACAAUACAUUAGGUUGUAUCAAAACUUCCCAAAAUAGCUAAAUGACUCUCCAUUCUACAAUCACUCCUUUACAAAUUCUUACGCUUUCGGUAUUAGAUUAUUAAAGUACACCAUUUACUGGAAUAUAUUAACUGUAGAGAAAUCGAAAAAGAAAAAAAAAAAGAAAACUCGAAAUCGAAUAGAAGAGGCGGAGACCGAUUACGAUGACUAAACCUAGAAAUUAACCUUGAACCCAAACGCGCAAAGUCCUGUCAUUAUGAAGUCCGGCAGAAACAAUCAUAUUCUCUGUUGGAUGACACGUCACACAGACAACAGUAUCGGUGUGCCCUUCGAGUUUCUGAACCAAGUUUUUGCCCUGUAAAUCCCACAAAUAGACGCAUUUAUCCUCUGAGCCACUCACAAUGUACUUCUCCCCCGACACUGAGAAUGUCGGCGUUAUGCAAUAUACUCUGUUCACAUGUCCCGUAUAUAUCUUCAAGAACUUCCCAGCUGAAUAGUUCCAUAGCUUCUGCAAUCAACAGCAAAACGUAAUACAGAUCAAAUUUCGUAUAUUACAACUCAAAUUUCGUAUAUUGGAACUCAAAUUAGCCACACGACAGAAAAAAACUUCCGGUGUGCACUUCACCAACAAAUCCCAUUUUGGCCACCAAAGUAUUAUCAGCUCUAGAUUUACUCUUCUUAAAAACUUCGUUACUUUAUGCCCUUAUGCAACGAUUUUCUAAUCAAAUGGUCACUGUACAGUAUAUCCAAGAUUAAAAACCACUCUUGAAUUACUUCGACAAUCUCAAGAUUUUGAUUAAUAGAACAGCUAAAUGUCAAUCCAAAUACUUCACCCCAUCGAAAUUCGACUUUUACGAUUUAGCGAAUUCAGCAGUGUUUAGCAUUCCGGGAUCAUGCAAUUUGAAAAGAUAGCAUCUUUCUUUCCCCAACAUUUGACAUUUUUUUGAAAUAGUACAGAAUCAACCCAAAACCUAAUAACGAUGAAUCUAAAUUAUAACACUUGCUAAACUGGAAUUUCCAGAAGAAAAAAAUAGAGAUUACCAGGGUAUCAUCCAAAGUGCCGACGAGGAUGAAUUUGCCGUUGGGGGAGAACUUAGCAAAAGACACAGCGGUGACCUUGUCAUCAAUCAGCGUCUUAAGCAGAGUCCCACUCGCCGCAUCCCAAAUUUUGCAGGAACCGUCGCGGCUGCCGGAAACAAUCAACGAUCCGUCUCGGUUGAAAUGCACCGACAUCACCGGCAGAGUGUGGGCCCGGAUCACGUGCACGCACUUCCCCGUCUUCACAUCCCAGAUCCUGACCGUCUCGUCGAACGAACCGGAGACGAUGAAAUUCGACUGCGGGUUGAAGUUCACGCAGAAGACGAAGUGCGUGUGCCCCUUGAGCGUCUUCACGCACUCGGCGGCGCGUGCGUCCCAGAUGCGGAGGGUGCGGUCGUCUGAUGCGGAGCAGAUGUAGGUGGAGUCGGAUGACCACGCGAGGUCGGAGACGCCGUCGGAGUGGCCGAUUAGGUGGGAGAUUUGGGUUAGGGUUUCGGUGGAAUAGACGAUUAGGGUUUUGUCGAGGGAGGCGGAGGCGAACAGCGCGCCGUUGUUGGAGAAUUUCACGGACGAGACGGCGGCCGUGUGGCUCGUGAUUACUUUCUUCAGGCGGUAGGGCUGGUAGGUAGGUGCACUGUUGGCACUGUUCGCCAUGGCAAUCGAACAACCACCCCAGCCUAACUCAAUUGUUUAUAUGUCAAUUAACUAAAUAUUUUUUUGUUUUUUGAACAAAUUAAUUAAUUAUAUUCUAAUAUAGUCGUUUUUUUUUUUUCUUAAUCAGAAAGCAUAUAUAUAUAUUUGCUAUACAUUUCAAUUCAAAAAUUUAAUCCUCCAAUUUCGUUGAUCUUUGAUUACAAAAAUGUGUUAAAAAAUUCUUAUUUUUCUUGUUCAUUGCAAAUCUAGUUAUAUUAGCCAACAAAUUCCACACCACCUUGACCAAAAGACGACGAUAUAUCGAAGAAAACACCGAGAAUCGAGAUCGAAGAGAAGAAAUUCACAUAGUUACAUUCGUACACUUUUGCUUUGUUGUGCCAUUUUUCUCUGAGCUGAAUAUAUUUGUUGUAUUUGUCCCAUAUUGAAUGAGAUUGAUACACUGGCAGGGCGAAACCAAUUGAUUAAAUUUACUGCUCUUUUUUUUUUUUUCGUUUUUUUACGUAAUUUAAUUAACUUUUUCGUCACAAUAAAAUGGUUUUGCAUUGAUGGAAAGAAGCCUAACAUUAGCCAAGUAUCUUAAUAGAAUCCAGAACAGGCUUCGCAAUGGGCAUAUUAACAAAUACAUGAAUUUGAACACACUAGCCACUAUGCAGCCCAAUCUUAAUAAAGCUACAACGUUUACCAUCUCCAAACAUAGAAACACAAAACUCGAAAGCGUUCGCAUAUGUUAACAUGCAUUUUUUCAGCAAUUGUUUUACUGAACAGCAUAAUUAUUGAACCACGCGCUAUAAGCAAUUUAAGUGAGAGAAAAAUACAAGAAUAAAUUUCAUGGGAAAUAAGCAAUCACCUUCGGUAUACUCAACCUUUUACAGCAUAACCUGUAAAUUGUAAGCUCUACAAGUAAUCCACCUCAUCGGAACUUUCCUCGAGAAUUGGAUGACUUUGAUCACUAUUAUAACUGCUCUCCGAUGAACUCGUAAACACCAAUGGAUCGUCGGAUGUAUGGCUGCUUGUCAGUGAGUCACUCUCACUGUUCACACCACUGCUGGUCAUUGGCUCUUCUACGAAACUAAGCAUCACAGAAAGUAAUAUCCAAAUUAAAAAACAUAAAUCACACAGGUUCUUUCUUAUUACCGGUGAGAUUUAAUUUACCUUCCCUCUGUAGGAAAAUCUGCGAGCACACACAAAUUAGGUCUUUCGUCCAAUAGCUCGCCUAGAGACAUGAAACUGCAUGAUUGUUUUGUCAGAACUAGUUGAAAUUAACAUGUGAAGUUAUUAUUAACUGUAUAUGAUGAUGCAUGCGUACCUUGGGGUGAAACUUCGACGGGACCAGUCAUUAUCCGAUGCCAGUCCCUCUCGGUUGGAUAUGUCCUGUUUGCACAUUAAAACCAAAAAAAUACUAAAAUGUAUAUUUGAACUACAAGGAAGAUGGAAGCAAAGGACGAAGGGUUUAUGUUUUAACACUUACAAGGUGCCUAAGGUACACGAAGCGUCCGGCAAGCAUUGCUGACAGCAAUCGAGAAACUUCAGCCUGGAUGACACAAAUUUCAGAUUAAUAUUUACCUUUGAGAGGACUGACCUACUCUUUCUAUGUAUUUCAAUCCUCUUUUUGACAUCAGUUCUACCUACAUGAGAUAUUCAAUCAAUCUUUUCUUUCUCGUUUUCUUUAAAAGUUGAAUCUAUAAAAAUCCAAAUAAUGUGACAUAAUGAUUUGACUUCUGGGAUCCAAGGCAUCCAUCAUGUUUGUGUUGUAUGUGUGUGUGUGUGUGUGUGUGUGUGUGUGUGUGUGUGUGUGUGUGUGAGAGAGAGAGAGAGAGAGAGAGAGAGAGAGAGAUAUGAAUCCUUACUUCUCUCAAGUGCAUACAAUCCCGUAAAAUCAAGACCUCUAGUAAGUUUGCACCUGCAUUGCCACCAAGAUUCCUGGAAGCAGGAUAGUCAAAACAUAAUGGAAACACAUAUGCGGGACAUAGAGUCAGCCGUGAAUCAAAAGAACUAUCCAAUAUCUAAGAGAAUUAAUCAUACCUGAGAAAGUCACCAGUAAUAGAGUAGGAUGUUGAAAAGUCAACAUACUUCAGUUUGCGGAAUCCCUGCAUUCACAUCAUAUAUCCAUUCCAAGUGAAGUUUCGACAACAUUGAGGGAGGAAGAGGAGAAGGUAAAGAAAGAAAAGACACAUUCAACAAGUAAUAACAAAUUUUUCAUCAUCAUGAAAGCCUACCUUAACAAGUGUCCGAACUUUAAUGUCAUGCAAUUUAAAUCCUCUUAGUGACAAUGAGGAUAAAGACGGGCAGUUAGUCACUAGAUCAUUGCACGUCGGUAAUUUUAAACUGUCAUCUCUACCUGAGAGUAAAUACUGUAACAUAAAUAAAAUGACUUUUCGGAACAGAAAGUACAUGGCUUAACUAAAAGUUCACCUGUUUUUGAUGAUUCAAAAUAUAGACGCUCUAUUAGAGGACAAGAUCUACUCACUGACUCCAGUGUCUGCCUCAGCUCCACAUGACUACAAAAAUGAGUGAUCAAGUAGAAAAUAACAAAAACGAAUAAACUAUAGAAAACAAGUCGAGAGGUAAAAUAAAUCAUCAACUACAUCUGAAGCAUCAACAGCUUUCUAAUAAUGCACAUCCCAGAUUGUUUUAACUUGCAAAUACAACAGGAGCAGUUUCGAAUCCGGGGCUUUUUAUCCAUUAUACAUGUAUUAGAUUGUCUCGUUUGGGAAAAGAGUUAGAACAGUUUACAGUGCAGUGAAUAAGACUCUAUUUAUCCUAAAAAUCAACUCAAAAAUUGUUCAUUAUGACAAAACUAUCAAUAAGCAAGAGACAAAAAGGGGUUAUUAAGGGUAAUUACAAAACCUAAGCAACUCGAAUUCAGGGAUGCAUAUGAACUAUGAAGCCCAAAACCCCCCUUAAACUAUACCUGUAGAAGAUUCACAUCUGUUUUCAGACAAUAGAUAGUUAUCUAAGACUAUCCACAAACUAGGUGGUCACCCACAAUGUCACCUGUUCUUCAUCUCCAGACCAUGAAAAUAACGAAGAGUUAGAGGAUGUAAUAGAAUAUGUUCCGAGUUUUGUCCUAGAUGCCAUUCAAUUGAUACUGGUUAUUGGUUUAACAUACCAAUUACAUUUCAAGUGCAUUAUAAACUGAAUAUAAGACAGUGACAGAGAAUACAUAAUAACAUGCAGAGACGGGAAAUUACGUAAGCAACUAAAUAGGUUUGAGAUACUCACAGGCCAACAAUUUCUAGGUCGAGCAAAGAAGGGCAAGCUGAUACUGCAGCUCCAAAUGCUGUAUUGUCCAUUCUAUCAAUAUUAUACAGGUGUAGCCUUCUCAAUAGAGAACUGGACAAGGAAAGCAAGGAGAGGAGGGUGAGACGCUUAGAGCAAAGGAUACUCAAGUUAAGCACAAGAAACAUAGCCUACUACAAAAUGGAAGCAUUAAAUGUUACCCCAGCGCACCACCAUCAGCAAUCAACGGAGCCAAGCAAGAUCUACUAAGUAUAAAUGACUCUUUUCCCUGUCUAGACCUUUUGUCAUUCCAAGAAAAUCCUGAAGUGUCUGAGGAAUUCCUCAUAGAAUAAACCAGUGGUUGAGACGAGCCUAGUGAUGCAGCAUCAGGACAGGGUACAACCCCAAGCUUAAGAGACCUACAAGUAAUAAGAAAAUCAGAGCCAUGUCUAUGGAAAAUGCAGCAAUGCCUACGUGCAAAAGUAUCAUUUGCCUACAAUCUUUCACAUAGAUGCAGACACUUGAGCAGAUAUAGCAAUUCUAGGUCAUGCCUCAACCAGAUAAAUCAGCCCAGCGGAAAAACGUAAAAGAAACAUGUUAAGAAGUGUAUUAUCUCCACAGCACGGAAGUUAGGUUUAUUGCAGAGUGAAAAAAACUGAAACUAAAUAAUCUUAGUUAACCAAUAGGGAAUCAUAAAAUCCAAGUUUCUUUAAAUAUGAGACAUGCACCAAUCACAUUAUUAAAUAUCAAAAUUAAAACAGCCACAUGAUUUUGCUGGCUAAUUUUUUAAGGUGGAAACAGGAAGAGAAACUAACAAGAUUUCGAUCAUUUUUCCUCCCCCACAUUACCCGCCCCAAAAUAGUGGCCCAAUAUUACAAGAAAAGGUAAAUCUCAUAGAUCUUACCGCAGAUCUUUUCCAGCUCGUUGGAUCAUAGUUGAAACUACCAUAUUGUUGAUCUUAGGCACUACUGUGGUCAAAUCAAUAUUGGAAUAGCACAACGGGUCAGCAGCACACUUAUGGAAAAAAGAGCAUGUAGCUGCUGCAUGGCAUACACUUUGAGUAUCGAGCAUUGAAAAUACCUGUAAAUAGACCGUAUUCAUACAGAACUGAAACGAGAGCGAAGACUACUAUGCAUCCUUGUCAAAUCAUUUCAUUGGAUAGACAUACUUUGUACAGACACAAAUUAUUUAACAAGAUAACAAGUACCUACAUGAAUAGUUAAAAGACAAGCAAAGAAAGCAUCCCCAAGUGGAAUCAAUUCACAGAUAGAAAAACAACGAUAAGCAAAAAUCUCCAGCAAUUACACUAGCUUUUCUUUUCAGGGAGAAAAGCACAAUUUCAUGCUGCAAAUACAAAGGUCAUUAACAAUAAAAAAUCAAAAUACGUAAAAUGAUGCCCCACAGAAGAAUUGACCCAAUAAAAUAGUACCAAAGAGUUCCAAUAAGACUUAAGCUCAAGAAACUUAGACACUUCAAAUCAAUUGGCAAACUGAAGCUAAUCAGCAGAAGCAUCCAAGUUUUUGGACAAUGUAACAAUCACCAGACAAUUACCAAUUAGGAGAAGUACAACAAUAAUACUACUAGUGUAUUCAAACACAAUGAAUCUACAAGUAAUUGACGAUCCAUUCCAAUUCAGUGUUGAGAAACAUUUGAUACCACAUACAAAAACGUUGCACAAUUUCAGAGACCAAAAUAUGUCGGUAACAGAGCAAAGUACCUUAAUAGUAAGAUCCAAUGGUAGAGCCCAAACGAAAGCGUUGUGCACGGAAGCGCGCCUCCUAGCGGAUCGAUUGGCAGCUUCAGUGAGAGCAGAGCCGAGCCGGAGAGCUCGGUCGAUGACGUCAUUCUGGUCCGAGUCGUAGUGCCUGGAUUCGAGAAUCCGAUCGAAGGAUAGGUCGAGAGCAACCGCGGACGAAUCGGAGAGUUCGAGAAACGAUUCCAGGAGCGCGUCCAGUGGAUUUGGAUUCGAUUUGGAGCUCAGAAUCCUGCUCGAGUCGGGGAAAAUAGAGCAGCAUGGGCGUUUCAGAUUGGGCUUCGGAGCAACGGAAACGGCGUCGUCGAUGAGAAGACUGCUAUCCAUCACAGGCGGUGGAAUCCUCUCUCUUCUCUUCUUCGUCGUCGUUUUAUUAUUCGUUCGAUUUUGUUUUCUGCGUUUUUUUUUGUGUGUGUUCUGAGAGGAUGAGAGAGAAGGCGGAGUGCGUGAGGUGGGGAGUGAGAAAAGAGAGUGACACGUGGCGUUUGGAAUUUGUCUACGUGGGAAGGGUGCAGUUCUCGGGAAAGCAAUUACGUCACCGUUUUAGUGACGUUAGUCUAAUCGAGGUCUUCCCUCUUUCUAGUGGUGGUCAACUAUUACUUUCACAUGGAUUUUAAUAUUUUAUCAUGAAAACAAAUAUUUAAUUAGAGAUCAAACUAUUAAAAAAGAAAUAGUAAUAUCAAAAGUGAAUAUGCAGCAUCACUUAGUAGAAAAAUAUACAAGAAAAUAAAAAAUUCUUUGAUGUAACUAAUUGAUUAAAACAAAAUAUGUGAAAACAAAUAAAUAUCAAAUAAUGAAAUUUUCUACAUAAAAAACGACUAUAUAUUUGGUUCCAACGCGAGCAACCAUAAUACUCAAUUAAUUCAAAUUAUUCAUUUGACUCAAAUCAAUUACUAUCAAGAUUGUGUUUGUCAAUUAUUGUAUGCCGAAUCCAAUUGUUCAAGAUAAAAUAAUUAAACGAUUUUUUUUAAAUAGUUGAUACAUAAUAAUAUAUAAUGAUAUCCGAUUUGUCCCGUACAAUAUAUAUUGCAUGUCGAAUACAAUAUAUUAGAUUUUUUUUUUGGUUUAAUUAAUGAAAUUAUGAUAUCCGUUUUUUUGCAUAGAGUUGAAAAUUAGUGUUUGACUUCUUAAAAAAAUUGAUCAAUCUUUAUUUUACAUAUUGUUAUAGUUUAAUUAAUUUUUUAUUUUUUUACAAAUUUUUACUAUUAUUCAAAACAUUAUAAAUAGCCAAAUUUAAUUGAUGAAAUCAAUUUAGUAGCAACUCUACCAUUCCCAUAAGCCUUGGCAGUAAUUUAGGACGAACUCGAUAUAACAAAAUCCAACUCGCCCGAGGCCCAAUAGUCGAGCCCAACGGCAACAAUGUGCCCUAAUAGAACACUCUACACGAGUGUUUGCAUUUUUAUUAACAAACUAAAUCAAAUUAAUUUUAAAAAUCAUGGCGCGUUUAAUUAAUAAAUUUCCAGAACCUACACGAAAUGCAGCUCAAUACGCCAUUCGGUAUGAUCGAUUUGGCGCUGUGGCCAGAUUAUUUUGGCGCGGCUGAAGCUUAUCGCAGCUGAAUCAUGGCCUCAUUGGCGACGGUGAGUGAGUUCCUUCUGUCAUGGUGUACAUUUUAUAUUUUUUUUUUAUUUUUUUUUAUAAUUGCACAUUUUAUAGCCGAUUACGGUGUUUUCCUCCAAAAACUAAAAAAAAAAACAGAGAGCUGGUUAUGGUGUUAUUAUUUACUGGAAAAUGGAAGAUUCGUGCUCAUUCGUCUUCUGUAUAUUUGUAUGCUGUUGUCCUCCUUUUACCCUGCCCAUUUUUUAGUUGAAUUGAAAACUCACAGUCAGAUCUCUUGUUUCUGCGCGUUUUUCCCUGUCUAUGUAAUAUUGUGAUGUAUCAAAUUGAUAGGUUUUCAAUAAAUAGUUCUCGAAAGUUCUGGUGUUCGUGCCACGGUGAGUGAAUUGGAGAUUUCUGUUGGAGAGAUAAUAUUGUGAUGUAUCAGAUUGAAAGGUGUUCAAUAAAUAAUUCUAGAAAGUUCUGGUUUCGGUGAGUAAAUUGGAGUUUUCUGUUGGAGAUAUAAUUGACUAAGUUACCCACGGAAGGAUUAGAUCAAUUUUAAUACCGUUCCGACGUUUUUAUAUGGGAGUGAAAUUUUAAGAAAACGCAACCGUUGAAGGAUCAGAUGAGUUUUUUUUAUUGUCGAGUAUUAAUUCAUGAAAUGCUCGAUGUAAUAUCUACAUGGAUUCAUUUUCUAUUUUUUCACGAAAUUCGGAAAAAAUUGUGAGUGAAGAAUGUAUUGGAACAAAAAUUAGAAGUAAUGAUAUUCUCUGUGAUUUGAUACUAGGUGAGGAUGCAUAUGUCUGGAAAAAAGAAGAGAAAUAUCUGGUACCAGUAAUCUGAAAAAUGUGGUACCGUUAUUAUGUAGAUUUGCCGAUAUACGUCUCAGAUGAACUCGUUUGAUGAAUUCAUUGGUAAUGAUCUGAGACCUCAAUUGCUUUGAUGAAUAGUUACUAAUUUGUAAAUGUGAAUUAAGAAGUUAAAGAAAAGAAUUCUUGGUCUGAUUUGGCUCUUGGUGCUUCUGGCAAUUUGAAUAAUCUCACAAGGAGUUGUGGUUCGAUCUGAAGUUAUUUUGGUAUUAAGAUGAAUGUGUUUGCUAAUUGUUAUGAAAAUUCUUCAGUAUUAAGAUGCGAGUGUUGGUUAUGUUUACAGCAAUCCAGAGGUUGAAGGACAAAGAGCGUCAUUGCAUGGACAUGUCACUGCAGUAACUGAAGGUCUCGAACAUGGCAGGCAUCAAUUGUUCAAGAAACUGAUGAAGAUGGCCUCUGCGCAAUGCUAUGGUGAGAAACUAUGCUUCGGCCAUUGUUCUAAGGUCUCAUUCUCUUGUCUGAGAUUCUUUGACAUCUUUUUUUUUUUUUUUUUUGAGAAAAUUUAAUUUCUUGUAUUCCUUUUGUUUUUAUUAUGCUUGUUUGUUAUUUAUUUGCUUCUUUUAAUCUUUCUUGAUAAUGUACUCCACAUACUUCAAACUAGAGAAUCUCUUCAAUUAUUUUCUGGAGCUCUUCCCUUCGUUUACGUGUUUUUUCUUUCUUUUGUUUUCUUUAGGUUAAGAGAUGUAUUUUCGAUCUUGAUUUGUACUUCCACCGGGAACGAUGAUUCCAAGCAAUUUAGCGAUCUUGUUUGGUUUUUUUCUCUGCUUCACUAUUUAUCAGGAUCUAGAAUAUGUUGCAUGAAGCGGAGUAUGAUUAGCAGAUUAGCUUAGACUGAAUAUUUGAAUUGAAGGUUGCAGAAAGAUUGUCUGAACUGGUUGUUUUUGUGAAGAAACUUUCUUUUCCUUUUGUAAAUAGGUUGUAUACGUAUGAUAAACUUGUCAGCACAAAUCGUACUUACUGUAAUUCCUCAUAUCUCUUAGCUGCAAUUACUUAAAUGCUAAAUCACAAAGCAAAAUUAUUGGUGAAAUUCUUGUGCACUUGAUUUCUACUCUUGGUUACUAUUUCCUAGCAAUUUCUUUUCCUUUUUUCAGAGGAGCAUAGUUUCUCAGUAAUGUUUGUAACUUAAUUUUUUACAGUGAUAUUGGCGUAAUUUGUGGAAGUUCUGUUUGAUCUUCAAAUAUACCUCCCAUCAAGAUAUCUGAGAAGGUGGAGGAUAAUAAAAUGCUACCUUUUCCUUUCCUUCAAAUUGUGGCCAAAUAAUUACAUUAAUAUUUAGAUUGAGGAAUGCUUAAUGCUUUCUCAGGGGACGUGAAAAAGAAGUCUGUUAUUCCUCUCCAGUAACUCCAAGAUGAGCUGUAACACGAUGAGGUCUAAUUUUCUUAACCUGACGAAGCGUAGAUCCGAUAAGGUACGCAUAUGAAGCAUAAUCUAUUUAUAUACUUGAAAUGGUAAUGGAUUAGGGUAAAGCUUAAAAAACACGGGUUCGGGUUUGGGGGGAAAUAGGGAAAGUUGGGUUGGGCCUUGGGGGCAGGUCUCGAUUUAGUUAAUCGAUGACACGGUCGGGGCCUUAAAACUCAGCCCGGUAUGGUAAAGUCUUGGGUGUGAAUAUAAAGUGGCUACAAAUAAAGUUUGUUCAUAAUUAAGUGAUAUUUACAAGGACUGGAGAAAAAUAUCAAGAUCUUAAGAGGGUCCACCAAGUAAGAUUUUCCCUUACAAGAUAUGGUGGAUACUAACAAUUUUCCAAUUUAACCGUUAAGCCAAAUUUCACAUGAUUUUUGGAGGAGCGGUUUUGUAGCUUGUGACUGGUAAUAAUGUUAUGUGUAUACAAUAGUAUGCCUCUGUUGCUAAAACUUGCAUCCAUCGGCGAAGGGAGUUUUCCUUUUCGAUCUUUGCCAAAUGUACAAUCGAAAUUCAUCUAAAUCUGCCGACAAUAAUUAAAUGUAAAAUAUAAAUUAAAGCUUAUAUUUUGUAUCUACUUUCCUCAAAUUCUGUAGGAUUUAGGGAGACAUUUAAGAGACAGAUUUUAGUGGUAAAUUGAAAGAAAGAGAGAGGAUAGAGGAGGGAGAGUGAGAGUGGAUGCUAGAGAGAGAAAGCGAUCUUAAUAAGAAAAAUAAAUUAUCAGUAAAAGUAGUACUAUAAUUAGCAUGCCGGUCGAUAAUAAUCCGAAUUGGGGAUGAUGGAACAUGGACAUUGUGGUGAUGUGUGUUGCAUUAUGCUGACAUGGCAUCACUCUUUCUCUCUCAAGGUGAAAAAAAGUCAACACCAAUUUAGGGAUGAGAUGGAUAUUGUGGUUGAUGUGGGUUCCAUUACAUAUCUUAUGUUGGCCGCUUGGGCAACACAAGUGUUAGGACAGAUAUAUAUAGAUACUGCAUGGGAUGGGCUUUGUUUUACUAUACAUUAACUCGUGCGGUGCGCCAUUUCUUGUAAAGUCAGAUAAGCCUAGACAACCCACUUCCAACAUUUCUUCCUCAUCCACAUCAAAUCCAUCAAUUUCUUUUCCCCUUUCUUCGUAUUUUUUUAAGUUUUACUUUAGCUUGUUCGAAAAAGUUAGAUGUUCAUCCGAAUAUAGCCCUAGUAGGUAAUAGAUCAUAUCAAUACUGUAAAAGAGCAAUUGUGGGUGAUUCUCUCUUUUCCUGCCUCUCCUUAAUGGCCACUAAAACAUCUUAUUUACCUUUAGAUUUUUAGUAUAUUAAAAUCUAUGGAGUUCAACGAUUCAUAAUAACAAAUUAUUUUGAGUUAAUUUGUCAUACAAUAUUUAAUACAAAGUUACUUUAGAUAAUUCGUCCGAUGAUGUUCAAAAAUCGAUUGGGUAGCUCAAGAGUCCUUGAAAUCAGGUAAACCCGAAACCUCUUGGUCUAAAUUUGAACUAGGCAUAUCAUCACCCUAAAAAACUUCUCAACAAAUCAAAAUUCUUAAUACAAAUACAAAGUGGGGCUUUUUUUUAGUUCUUCAUUGUAAUUCUUUGAUAGAGAAAAGGUAUUGGGGUUGGACUAGUUUACGAAAGCAGGAACUUUUUCUGUGCAUGCAUCCAAUAAUUCAAUUGGUUGAGGUCUCCAAAUCAAUAUACUCUUUAUAUUCAAGAUUUAGUGGGUCAUCGUGAAUUUUAUCCGAGAACUGGUGCUUGUCUAUCAGUUGAUAUUUAUAUAUUUGUGGCUAUAUAUUUACCUAUAUUAUAAUAUUUUAUAGUGCUCCAAGAAAUUUAUUGCUAUGAUUUAUUAUACUUUUGAUAAUUUUAUUUACAUUAAGCACACCAUUUACAUGUACAUGGUCAGAGUACUCUGUCAAAGAGUACUUUGUCCAUGUGGAAGUUGAUGGUUCCUGGGUUACAAUAAGCUGCAUAAUAGAAACUUCUAGCAACUGUGAGAAAGUUUUGCUUCGUCUGUGAAUCUAAAUCGUCUGAGGAUUUUGUAAGAACUAAUUUCACUAGUUCUUGCAUGUCCGAUUCUAUCUCUGCGGUUGUGAUGCCUCUAGUAUCAGCCAUGCAUCCUUGCGCCUGUUCGAAACAAGUAGAGCAUUAAAACAUUAGAAAAAAAAAAUUAUUUUUUUGAAUUUUUUUGUUGAAAAAUGAAAAAUGAAGAUUAAAUGAAAAGAGAAAAGAAAAGGCAAAGAGGAGACAAGAAUUACAAUUAAGCUUGGGAAUUAGUGUCUGGCAGGAUUCAUGUUAUAAAUAUGUGGUUAUGUAAUGAUUGUAUAAUUGAAGAAAUGAGCCAUAAAGAUAGAUCCAAAAUCUCACAUGGCAAAAAAUGUGAUACUGUGCGCGGCUGUUUGACAAAAUUCUAUCAAGAAAGAUAACCGGAAAUAGGAAAUUUUGUCGCUAACCUUUCGGUGUUGAAAUAGACGCAGUUUACUGCAAACUCUUGUCGUGGUCUCCAAUAGCUGCUUGUACUUAGGAUCUGACAAUAAUAGCUCCUCAGACGCCCAAUGAUCACCGCCACCACCGCAUAGAUUUAAUGUGCGGACGAAUAGCUCCGCAUUCCCUUGUCCGAUUUCUCCUCCCUCUUCCCAUAUCUUGAGCCACUUAUGCCACUGCACAUUUCAUGUCAUUAGUCAAGACAUUUUUUUGUCACUAAAUUAAGACUUAAGUGGCUUUAACAUUGGCCACUCUAGAAUUUUUUUCGCAAUUUUUAUUAGCAUUAAUUAUAUUUUUUUUUUUUACUUUAAAAAUCAAUAAAAUAUUAUAUAUAUAUAUAUAUUGGAAUGAUAUUUAAUAAAAAAAAAUUGAAAUAAUAAAGAAUGAAAAGUAAGAAUUUGUACGGGCAGGAAGAGAUGAAUGAAGAUUUUGGAGUUUUACCGCAUGAUUGAGUGGCUGUUGGAUGUUUCGGCCGUGUGCCAACAGUGUAUCCAAUGAGAGCUGGUUUAGCGUUCUGAGCAAUGUCCCGACAACACUGCUUCUUGUUUUAUUGUACCUGCAAUACCUCUUUUCUAUUACUCCAGAGGCCAAGCUCAUAUACUUUUUUUUUUCUUCUUUCAUAUCCGUUUAUAUAUUUUAAUUAAAUAAUAUUGAUUUUUAUUUAAAUAUGAAUAUUAAAUUAGAUUUAUGAGAUUAAUUAGGGAAUUUUACCUCCCUCCAUUUGCAUACUUGUGGAGAACGCUGCCAUGUUCAAAUUCAUCGACAAGGGCGCGUUUCUGAUCUCUCGAAAGUUGCUGUUGCUCGAUAGUUUCGACUAAAAUUGUUGUUUUGGCCCAUGCUAAGCGCGCUCCCGACUUCUCCGGCUCGAAUAUGCAUGCAGCGGAUAUGUAGUACCCUAGUAAAGCACUUCUUUCACUUAAACCAAAUUCAUCAAGGCUGCAAUUUCUGAACCAUCUGCACCAAAAGAUUAAAUCAAAUAAAAUAACUUAUCUUUUCGAAACAUUAAAAAAAUCUGGAAGAAAAGAAGAAAAAAAUUAAUCUUACUUUUGUAUGCUUUUCCACUCCCGCUGAUGCAAGGCCUGACAAUUGUUGUAGUCCAAUUUUGCUAGUUCCAGAUAGGUGUUAUUGUUGACGUAUGGCAUCCUGAAGAUAAAUGCUGAAAAAUUAUAACAUGCAUAUAAUUUUAUUACUGUAAAGUAAAUUUUCAUGCUGCAUCGGUUAAUUAAAUUCAUUCGAAAUACAAUAAUUCUAACAGUACAAAAAUCAAGCAAAAAACAGUACAAGAGUACAAUGUACGAGACAAAUUAGCAAGAAUCUUCAUCUAAUAUUAUAUUAUUUAUAAAAUUAAAUAAUCUUAACUACGUAAGCUAAGCAUCACCUUCUAGAAUAUGCAUUUUUUCUUUUCUGUCACAUUAUGCUAAUUAAUAUGGUUAAUUUUGAAAGGGAAUUUGAUGGUGUCAGAAGAUAUAUGUUGUCCUAAUCUUUGUGGACAACUAUAUUGUAAUUGUAAAUACAUGGCCGCCUAAACUUGGCUUUUGUGCUCAAACUCUUUCAAUUAACAGCUGUUGCAAAUAUUAAUUGACUUUAAUUUUUAAUGUUAAUAAUUAGAAGAUAAGAAUACGAAAUCAUGUCACGUGCUAUCCAUGUGAUUCAGAUGAAAAGCAUAGGCUUGCAUGAAAAAUUCAUUCAUUUCUUAUAGGUAGGGAUUAAUAUUGACUGCUGUUUCAGAAUGUUCCUCGAUUGAUACAAAUCGUCAAACUUAGGACUUUCAUAAAAUUUGAUUUUUUUUAAAAGCUAAUUCCAAUUCAUAAUUUGAAAAUUGGAAUGGAAACACUUAUUCCUAACUCUGAUUUUUUUUUUUUAUUGGAAUUGACGAGUAUUUAAUGUAAAUUUUGAAUAUUAUUUUUUCCAAUUUUUCGGUGUUAGUCUAGCAAAUUAGAAUCGAAUCGGGAAUUGACAUGUCAUAUACAUAUUUCAAUUCCGAUCAAAAAAUAAAUUGGAAAAUCCGAAUUUGGAACGAAAAAAAUCGUUCCAAAAUCAUAACUUUUUGGAUCGAGCUCGUUGGAAUUCGAAAACCCCGUUUCGAUUUCCACCUCUAUUUUGUACAAGUCAAGAUUUUGUAUUCAUGCUUUUGCAAAAACUAGUAAAGUAAAAUAAUGAUGGUAAAACGGUAAUUAGUAAAAACAGUUAAGAAUUAGUUAAGAGUACCUGUAUAAGGUUUUGCCAAUCCAAACAUCGUCUUCGCCGCCGUACUGUUCUAAAUAGAAUCUUGUUUCGACUCGAGGUAGACUAGCGUACCAUGGCACAUCUAGUGCAUAUCCCACCUGGAAUAAUAAUUAUAUUAUUAUUAUUAUUAUUUAAUCGUUUAAAAUAAAUAAAUAUAAUUAAUUCAGGGCUCAAAAGGCUACACGAUUAUCAAAUUGAGCCACUUAGACUUGCUCAAUUGGAUAGGCAUCCACUACUAAAUUGAUCAAAAAAUUGCAUUAACAAAACGCCAAACUUAUGAAGAAAAAAAAAUUAAUUAAUUUGUUUUCUUGUACAAUGUCAUUAAGCUUGUGGCAAGUGGCAUAUGUCCUAAUCAUCAAAAUUUUGCCCUUGGAAUCAUGUUACUUUAGAAAUUUGUUUGAUUGGAGAGAUAUGAAUGUAAUAAAACCUGGUUAUUUAUAUGAUAUGUGUAUGUAAUUAUGUGUAGAUCUAUUGCUGAAAUUCACAAAAUAUAAAUGAUUAGGUGUAACAUCUAAUUACUCAGCGCCUCAAACUAGAAUUUAACUUAAAAAAAAAUGGCAUUUAAUUAAUAAUAUAUUACAGUUAACAAAAUCCAUGAGAAGGGGGCCUAACACAAAUAAAUAAAUAAAUACCAACUUAGAACUUUUCAUUAUAUAAAAUAUAACUCAAACUCCCUCACUUUUAGUUAAUGUUUAAGCUUAAUUAAUUGAAGGGGACAACGAGAAAAACAAAAGAUUUUAAAAAUAAACCCUUUUGAUUAAGCUGGCAUUUAGCAAAUUAAUUAUUAUUUUAGUAUCCUACUUUUCUUUUAAUAAGUAAGAUAGAAUCACAUAUGACAUGUCUGAUCUGCUUCCUAAACAUGUGUAUGUCUCUCUUUUCUAGAUAACUUUCAUACUACUAAUAAUAUAUUUAUUCUCACCAAAAGUUUCUUCACUUUUAAAAGUAAACCCACAACAUUGCAUGGGCCAUAAAGAAAAUUAAAAAAAAAAAUUGAAUAAAAAAUCUUCACCUUUAAUAAUCGGAAAAAAAAUCACUAGUAUAAGUAAUCAGGUGUAGCAUUUAACUGCCCGAUGUAUCGGGAGUUAUAGUUAUCUUAGUGGCAGUGGAAUCGCCACAUCAGGACAUUUAUCUACGAGUUAGAAGUGUGGGUUUUAUCUACAUUAUUAAGAAACACACACUAUCACACACACACACACACAUAUAUACAUAUAUAUGCAUAGUAAAGGGUAUAAUAAUAUUGAAUAAAAUAAACUGACCUCGCCGGGAAGGUCUUUGGUAAUAAUCCACUUAUCCAAAAGCUGAUUAUUAGCUCUUUUUUCUUUCAAAAACUUAGCCGAAAAACUAGCAGCAAAUCCAAGAAUCUCCUCUCCAGGAAACAUCAACUGAGAAGCCCUGUACAAAUUGUACAUCCCGGUCACAGCCUGCGUUGACUGCCCCGCGAAGCAGAAGAACUCUCCACCCUUCUCAAAAUGUUUGAACACCUCUGCUUACCAUCAUACAAAGUUAGUUAAUAUGUAUCCACUACAUGCACGGACCAUGAACCAUACGGUGCACCUGCAUAUUAUUCUUUUAAUAUAUAUAAUUAAUGAAUUAAUUACCUGCAGAAAUAUUGUAGCCAUGCAACCUGAGAAGCCUGAAACCCAUGGCCGUGUCAUCAAUAUCCUGAACUUCCGAGUUCCUCGCCCAGCAUAUUCCUUUAUCCGUCCAGUAUCUGUGCACAUAUUCGAUACAUUCCUCGAUUUCGUCCCGGAAAUACCGAGAAACGCCUAGCCGUUGCAGCUUGUCCACCGCCCAAAGAUGCUCGAACAAGUCCACCGGGUACACAUUCGGAACUAAAAUAAUUAAUCACAAAUUAAAUUAAUUAGUUAUGAAAAAUUAAUUAAUGAAUAACAAUAUUAAUUAAUUAGGAUUAGAAUAUUUACCUCCACCGUUGAAUUUACGAACAUAAUUAGUCAAAUACUGGAGGCAAUUAAGAUCUUUGGUUUGGUGGAGGGCAAAGGCAGUGGAGGAAGGAGAGAAAAGGAAAGAGCCAUCUGAAGACUGUAAUUUCAAUAGCUUUUGCCACGUCAGAUCUGCCAUUCCUUCCAAGCUGUGUAGUAAUGUUGUCGGCACUUUGUGCAUUAUGUCCUUCGGUAUCCUAUUUUAUACAUACAUAUAUAUAUCCCCCCACACACACACACCCAAUUAUUACACACAUAUAUGUAGGCAGAAAUAAAAAAUUAAUUUAUACAUAUAUAUAUGGUUUUUUGGACCUAUCUUUAUCAUAUACUUUUAUGUAUGUGACAGAUAAGGUUGCUUUCAAAUAGUGUCUUUCUCUUUCAUUCAUUUGUACAUGCUGGAAUAUUAUAUAUAUAUAUAUGUAUAAUAUAUAUAUAUAUAUAUAUACACACACACACAUACCUUGUGAGCUUAAGGUCUCGUUUAGCAUAGAUUUGUUUUAAACCAGGAGAAUCUUGGUAUGGGAAGUCUAUAUCUAACUUUUUGGCUAAUUCAAUGAGUGAUGGUAACGCCACUUCAAACCCAAUCGGCAUGUGCUCUUCAUUUUCUUCCCCUAGCUUCUCUAUAUUCUCUUUUAUAAAUAUUAUCCCUGCCAAAUAUUUACAUUUCAAAUCUAAUUAAUUAUUUUUUUAUUAUAUUAUAUUAAUUUAAUUAAUUAAUUAAGUAAUUACCUUUAUCGGUUUUGUGGGGAUGUAAGUUCCAGUAUCUCAAAGCAACUACACAAGCUAACGUGUUGAUGAUUCGGUCGUAGAUUGAGAAAGUGUAGUUGGCGCCCCACGACCCGUCGGGGAGUUGGUUUUCCGAAAUCCACUCUAGGCUCGACGGGAACUGGGGCGCCGGCGCCGUCGUCAUGCCGCCGCCACCGUUGAUGUCCUCCACCAACGCCACCCACGCGGUGUCGUACGGAGAUACGCUUAUCUCUCCGUCGCCCAUCGAAGUCAAAAUCGAUCUCACCGAUUCCACCAGUUCCCUUAUCUUGUCAGAUGAUUCGGCCUCCUUCUCCUUCUUUUGAUGCAAAAGUAAACCAAAAAAAAAAAUCAAAAGUGGGUAAUCAAAUCAGAUUUGACUAAUCGAAACAAAAGCAACAAAAUAACAAAAAUGUUUACUGAUUAUUAAUUUAUAUUAUGAGUAGUGUAUAUAUAUAUAUAUAUAUAUAUAUAUAUAUAUAUAUAUAUAUAUAUAUAUAUAUAUAUAUAUAUAUAUGAGCAAAAGAAAGAAAAAUGAAUUGUGUUCCUACCUUAUGAUCAGUACUAUUUGUUCGUGAGUCAUCUUCCACGAUCUCGUGCCACUUUAUCACCGGCAAACCACCGUUCUGAAUCACAUCUAUGUAUUCUGCAUUAUAUUAAAUCACCAUCCCGUUAAUUGUAAUUAACAAACACUAAUUAAUAUAUUAAAAAAAUAAUAAUAUUUUUUUUAGUAAUUCAAUUUUAAUUUCAAGAGGGGGUUUAUGUUUUUAAUUAUGUUAUUUUAUAUAUGUCUAUGUAUGUAGAAUGAAUGAUUACCUUGUGUACGAGGUUUGAAAAUAGCAUUACAGUAGUGAAGAGGACAACUGGAAGUAAGUAGUUGUCUGGAAAACCCUGCAAUGAAAAUUGAUGUAACUUUACAGCUUGGGAAUUUCAGGAAUCAAUCAUAUCGAUUCCAAAUGGUAAGAAAACAAAGCGGCAAACGUCAAAAGAAACAUCAAAAUGCAACCCAAAGUUUAACGUUCAUUCAAUCACACUCUUAACCAUUUAAAGAAAUCAAAUUAUAAUUAAACACGAGAAAUUAAAAAUAAUAAAAUGGGGGUCAUCAACAAACUGCGCGCGUGUGUGUGAGUGUGUGAGAGAGACUGAGGAUUCACCGGCAGGGAAACGAGUUGCUGCGGGCGGCAAAAGAGCGCCGUGAGCGGCGGAUGAUCGGAGGAGAGAGGCGGAGUGGUGGGAAGUAGUAAAAGACAUGUUUAUUAUAAAAUUUGUUGUGGUGGUUGUUGUUUAAGAGAGAGAGAGGAAUUGAAAGAGGGGUUUAUAUAGAAAGAGAGAGAAAGUAGAUGAGAGAGAAAGUAGAGAGAGAGAGAGAGAGAGAGAGAGAGAGAGAGAAGGAGAAGACAGAAAGGAAUUCCCAAGAGAUUCCCGCGAAUGGGUGCAUGGGAUCAUCCAAAUUCAUGAGAAUGAGGGCACUCCUGUUCUUUUCUUUCCUUCCACCCCCCUUUUAUAUAAUAAUACAUUUUUUUAUUUUUUAUUUUUAAAUAAUAUUUAAUUAUUCAGGAUCCCCACCCCUCUUUUUUGUGUUAACCCCAUUAAUUAAUUAAUUAAUUAAUUAUAAUUCUAUAUUUCACUGUAAUAGUUUUGUUAUGAGAUCAGUACUGAUUUAAUUAGUUUGACUUAAUAUACAACGGAAUGAUUUUAAUUUAAUGGGUGAAAUCUUGGUGUUAUUAUUGUGUUACUAUAUUAUAUAUUGGAAUUGGAAAACUCUCUCUGUAUAUACUGAUAUUUCUUCUGAGGUAAGGAAAAAUAAAAUAAAUAUUAAAUCCAACACUACAAAAUAGCAAUUUGGAUUCCUAUGUUACGAAUCCUAUGUUAUAGUACUUGGUAUAUAUAUUGUAUUUUAUUUCACCAAUCCGUAUACGCAACACGUGUACUAUAAUGAUUUUAUUUUUAAUUGACAAAGACAACACUUGGUACAUUCUGGUUUGGUGCAACAAUUUGUAAAUAGAUGUUAAUCGCAUUAAAUUAAUUAUUAGUGACGAACUAAAUUUAGAAAAAUAUUAAUAAAGAAAUGAAAGAGUUCAGAUAAAAUGUAAAGAAAUUACUCAAACAGUAGAAUUAAAAGAACGUUAUACAGUAGAAAAGAUGGUCACUUCACAAUUUUGUAGUCACACACGGACGCAGUGAUCUUAUAUGAGAGAAUACAUGUAUUCGAUGAAAGAUAAUGUAAAUUAAUUAAUUUAGGUAAUAAAUUAAAUAUUUGUAUGUAUUUUAUUAUUUUUUCACAUUCUGAAAAAUACAGUACUGGUGAGUUGUGCAUGGACCGGACCAGUCGCUACAAUCAAGAUUCAGGUUUAUUUGGUUUUGCAACUUUUGGAAUUUGGUCCAAUUAUAUCACUGGGUUCUUUUUUCUUUUUCUUUUUCUUUUUUUAUAAAAGGACUUUUCAGAUUAUUUUUUUUAAUAGAAUUAAUUUGGUAAUUUACCAUAUUAAUUCUAUUAAAAAAAAUAAUCUUAAAAAGUCCUUUUAUAAUAAAAGAAAAAGAAAAUUUACAAAAUUACCUUUUCAGGUAAAGUCUAUUUACAAAAAAACCCCUCGUUCUUUUAGAAACUACAUUGACCCCCUAUAAAAGAGUUGAUGUAAGAAAUCUACAAAUUGCAGGGUGGAUUUAAUUAUGAAAAACAAGGGCGAAUUUUGUAAAACAAUAAUAAUUGUUGUAUUAAGUAACUGGAAAUCAAUCUAAGUUGAGAAUAAUCUCAUACAUUAAAAUCUUAAUCAAGGAUUAAGGAAUCAAAAAUAUAUAACAAACCUUCAAAGAAAAUGGGACAGUUACAUCAGUUCAAAAUCGAUGUGGAAGAUUGACAUAAAGGCUAAAUUAUGUUUCACUAAAUCAGAUAAUAAUAAGAAGUUGGGAUAUAUUUGAUAAAACAACAAAAAGAUGAUUACAAAAAAGAUUAGUCUAAUCACAUAAAACAUCAUAUACAAAACUAACUUAAACCGGUAACAAGUGUUUGUUUCUAACGGAGAUUGUGGAAUCUUGUGUUUCUUUGAUGCUUUUUCAAUUAAUAACUGGCGUUUUCACCAACCUUGUAUCAAUUGUAAUGCAUGGAAUCUAAUUAAAAUAUAAACCAUGGUCCAAUAAUUUUGGUUCCACUUGUCUUUUCUUAUUUGAAUGUUCUAAGCCCAGUGUAUGAUAUGGGCCGGGCUCGUGAAUAGAACAAAUAAGGCCGGUUUGAAUUUAUAUUAAAUAAAAAUCAAGAAAGGAUCUGAAAUGUUAAGUGUCGUUUCAAUUUUAUUAAUACUGUGAUUUUGAACUCAAUUUUGAAAAAAUGCAAAACGCAAAAAGUGUAGUCCUUUGAGAUAUAUUUCUAAUACAACUUGAAUCGUUUAGAUUGGAUGUGGGAUGGCAAAGUUAUGCAUUAAUGAGUUACGUUUUGAAUUUUAAACAACUCAAAACAUCAAAGUUGUGGGCAGUGUUCAUUGAAUCAUGCAUAUUUUUCUCCUCUAUCAUCCAUUUUUGGUGACUCAAGUUGGAUUCAAAAGUUAACUCAACAAACUACAAAUUCCGUGUUUUGAAUUUUGCUACAUUCAAACUAAAAAAUUAUCAAAAUCAUGUUUAAAGUCAAAACAGUAUGUCUAAAACUGAAACGAUAUUUAUCACGCCCGUAAGGAAAUUUGUUUUGACAUGAGGAAACAAAGAAUAUACACAAAAUGAUUUAAUUUUUGUUUACUUUUUUUUUACGAGAGAUCUCGAUUUCUUCGCCAUCUUCUUAUUUCCUUUUCUCUGGCCCGUUCUCGUUGUUUGGUAUGUAUGAUCCAUUAAUCUUAAAAUAUAAUUGAAUGUAAAACAUGCAAUAUCUAAUUAUAAAUAAAUUGUCUCAAAUGAAAAAUUAAACCUAUAAUUUUAAUAAUUAAAAUCCAAAUAACCUUUUCUAAAUCUAACGGGCUAAGCUACGGUCGUCUCUAAAUUUAAAAACAUUACAAUUUUGUUAGCCCAAUUAAUUGGCCCAAAAUCCAAUAAACUACCUGAAUUGGGCCACUUAAUUUUGAUAGGCCCAAUAAAUAUCACGCGCUCAGCACGUGACACCCUCUCCGAAUCGCUAAACUCCAACAAACCACCUUAAAUAAAAAAAUCACAGUAAAAGCAUGGUUUCCUUCCGCUUCCCGUUCUUGUUUUCUCAGCCACCAAGACCGCCCCUUUCCGCCACCGCCGAUGUCUCCUCGCGAUCCUUCUCCGCCACCACCACCGCCGCAUUAUCAGUAGCCGCCGCAUUAUCAGUCGCCGGAGCCGGCGUUGCUCUCUCCCAGAACUCCGACAACCCAUUUCUUCAAUGGGCAUUGAAUUUAUUAGCGUCCAACAGAAAUGGCUUCAAUCCGAUGUGGGGUUCACUUUCUCUCACCGCAAAUUCGUCGCCGGUCACCGAAUCGAGGACUGGAACGUCAUUUCCAGCUGUCCUGAAAGAUUCUCAGCGCCUUCUCGGAAUUGGAUUGCGCAGAAAAGCUGUUCUAGGGUUGAAAAACAUCGAUGUUUACGCUUACGGAAACCCUUCGUAUUUUAUUUUGAUUUCCCCCUUUUCAUUUCAGUUGAUAUAUACAUAGCGACCAAAUUGGCCAUGAAAUUGAACUCUGGGCAUUUUCCCUUUUGAUUUCGGAUUUGAUUAAAAUAGGUGUAUACGCUGAUGAUUCCGAUGUGAAAAAGUUUCUAAGUGAGAAAAAGGGAGAUCUUUCCGAUGAUCUAAUGGAGAGUGAUGUCAGCAUGACUAUUAGGCUGCAAAUAGUUUAUGGAAGGUUGAGCAUUCGUUCCGUGAGGAGCGCUUUUCAAGAAUCGGUCGGUAGCCGAUUGAACAAGUUUGGCGGAGGAUCGGAUAACAAAGAAUUGCUACAAAGGUAACCAAAUAUCUUUUCGUUUAUAUCGCAAGUAUACUAAAAUGCACUAAAUUAGGAAUGAUAGUAGCCCGUGGUCGUGGUGUAGCAAUUCAAUAGUAUAAAAUCUCGAGCUCGGUGAUUUUGUAGUGUCUGUCGAUUUUCUUAUAAUUUGAUGUGCAGGUUUACCUCUCAAUUUAAAGAUGAAUAUAAAAUACCAAAGGGAUCCAUCAUCGAUCUGUGUAGAGAGCGAGGCUAUGUUCUUCGCACAAUGAGUAAGAUUGUCGUCGCUACUUCAUAUUUAUAUUUGAAACGAACUUUGUUUUAGUUAAAUAUGAGCAUGGUGCAUAAUGCAUAUAAUGCUGCAAAAUUACGAUAAAUUAGAUAUAAACGCAACUUUUUUACAUUUUGCACGUAUGUAUGUAUGUAGUUGAUGGAGAAGAAGUGGGAAGUAUACAGAGCAAGGUCUUGUGUCGGUCAAUACUCGAUCUAUACAUAGGUAACGAGUCUUUUGAUUCUAAAGCCAAAGAAGAUGUCGAGCUCAACUUGGCUUCCCUAUUAGGGAAAUAACUUCGUUGGAUGUCAAACUCUGCUUGAAUCCAAAAUUCAGAAAUUUCGUAAUAUUUCGACCCUUGAUUUUCGCGUUUUUCGGUUGUUUGUAUUUUGUUGGGAAAAAAACAUUAAUGUGAAGAACACUGAAGAUUUGGUUUCUAGGUAAAGUAUUGCUACCAAAUUAGAUGAGAUCACAUAAAAUUAAUUUUGUGUAGUUGGAUGAGUAGUCAAGCCCAUUGACUAUUUUGUAUGAUGAUAUAAAUAAAAGAUGGAUAAAAUAAAUAAUAUAAAGAAAAUCGUUGUGGGUUCCAACAUUUUCAGAGGAAUUCAAGUCAAAAAAAUUGACCUGCUCCACCACACGAAAUUAAUUAUUUUUCAUUCAAAAAAGUCAAACCUUUUUUUAAAUAAUAAUAAUAAUAAUAAUAAUAAUAAUCAAAUAAAGAGCUGAUAAUAAAAAAUAAUAUUAAUCAACAAACUUUCAUAAGCUGCUUUUUCUUUAACUGAAAAAAGGUAUUCAACUUCCACCCACCAUACUCUAAAGCAUAUAUGAAAGAAUGGAAUUGUAUAUGAUGAUGAUGAUUAUAACAGCAGAUUAGUUCUAUACAUACAACACAAAAAUGAGUGCCGCAUUCAUUCAAACCAAUCACAGAUUAGUACUCAAACUCAUAAAUAACUAUUUCCAAAAUUGCAAUUUAAUCCUUUUUCAAUACUUGAGCUCGGAGAGUUGGUUCGGGCAUGUGCCUAGAAUCGGAGUCACGUUCCUUCUACAAGCAGGGGACAAUUUCUGGGCAGGCCCGUUGGGAGGAACCUCUGUUUCUUGGGUUGAUUUGCUCACUGUACUCAUACUUCUUUGGCUGCUCCCCCCUGUAUUUGUAUUUUUCGACACCGAUGAAUUUGCUGAAGGUGAUACCGGAUUAUGACUACUUUGGGAACUUUUCAGUUGAGGAAUGUUCGAAAGGGCUGUAUUAUUGUGAGAGUAGUUCUCCCAUUUGGAUGCAAAGUUUGGAUUCCCGGUUUGAGUAGAAGAUGUGAAAACAGGGUUCAUCGCCUUAACCUGAUACGCUGACGCUCCUCCUCCUGCAAGCUGCUGCUGCAUUUGAUGCUGUUGAGACUUUGGCAUUGUCGAGCGAGCUGAUAUACUGUCACUGCAAUCUGACUUUGAGAAGUUGAAAGGUUGACCGCUGCCGCCAUGGAUUUGAUUUGCUCCUUCACUUGCCUGGAAAUUCUUCUGCUGCUGCUGUUGUUGUUGUUGUUGUUGUUGUUGUGCCAUUUGAUACAUCAUAGCAGAGUUGUGCAUCAUGGAUGAGAAGCUCAGCGCAGCAGUUGUUGAAGCAUUCGAUCCGAAAGAGAGAGCAAAAGCUUGAGGGACCAUAUUCAUUACACCCUUAGAGCCAUGCUGACUAGGAUCGCCGUGCUGCUUAUUAUUGGCAGGUGGCAUCACUCCAAAGUUCAUUGCUUGGACAGGAAAUGCGUACGUCUGCCCGUUAUUAUUACAUUCCACAGACUGAGAAACCAAACCGUCAGGAACCGAUGAGCCGCCACUUUUCCUGCUAGUUAGCUUAUCUGGCUGUGAUGAGUAAGGAAAUUUGUCGUCACUAGUUUUCGUACUGGUGUGCUGAUGAUUACCCUUGGGUUGUUUGUGAGAUGACGAGCCACCAAAUAUCGAAGCUGAUUGGACUGGAGCAUGAGGAAGGGAUAAUGGCGGCUGCUGCUGAUUUUGAGUGACAUUAAACGCUGGCGACGAAUAUAGAGAGGAGUUAAAGAAGGGCAUAUUGGGGUGUACUCCUCUGAAAGAAGGCAAAUUUGGGAAACUAUUGUUCUGUAACAUUGCCAUGUAUGGAGAAGCUUCCAUGGAUGGAAAUGUUGGUUGAUUAAAGCUCGCAGAACCUGGUGCCCCAUGCAAGGGCAAGUUAACUGAAAGCCUCCCAGCUGAAUUAGAGGGCAGCGAUUCGUUGCCAACUGCUGAAGCGGGUACGGAAGAAUUAGCUGCUGAUGUCAUCGUUGUUUGGCGUUGACCGUUCGGAAAGAUUAAACCAGAGCCAUGCUGCAAUCAUCAUAAUAAAUAAAUAAACAGGGGUUUUAACUUCGAAUCGAGCGUGACGCAGUCACGGUUUCAAUAACUACAGGAUAAAGACCGAAAGAACUUACCGAAAAGUUAUUAGCUUGUUGGAAAAUAGACUUGCCAUUUGCUGUGGCAUUGAAAGCAGCUGCAGCAUCAGAGAUUUUAUCUAUUCUACUUCCAUCUGAAAUGGUGGUAGCAAAAUUCUGUACUCCUUGAAAGUCUCCGUGAACGAGCUUUUGUCUUGACUUGGAUUUUAGGUUCGAUGGUUUGGUUCCAUAUAAAGUAGGAGGACCAAUUGGCCCAGACGAUAGAGAUUUUUUGAUGAGUUGCUGGUGAUACUGAAUGUUGUUGGCAACGUUUUGAUGAGUUAAACAUCUCUUCAGUCGAGGUUGUGAAAAAUUAAAUUGAGGGGGCUGCAAAUUUUGAGACAAUCAAUUUAGUUAGUUAUAAACUGAACCAAAUAAGAAACAUUGCUCCGACAAAACCAAAGGUGUACCUGCAUUGUCAUCGAAGAUCUGGCACUUCCAUCUAUUGGCAAAACUGCUUGCAUGGUGGGAGGCAUAUAUCUGCAUACGAAACAACUUGUUUAGCAAUGGGCAGGCAUUUGUUAAACAGAAGAAUAAACCGAGACUUUAGUAUACACACCCUGGACGAGGAAGAACACUAGGCCAGCUAUUCAUACCAAAAGGGAAAGACAACAAGGGAGUUGCAUCUGCAAAAAUAACACGUCAGUCAUACAAUUUAGCUGAAAAAAAUAUCAUGAUCGCUUCGAUUUUGGGAUCAAGUAGAUUGGUAUGAGGAUUUUACAUUGACUUUUCUGAUCGUUACGAAUCUGCUGCUGUUGGGUAGUACUGUCACCGACUCUUGGGAUAUCAUGCCUACGCUUGUCCAGGUCAAGGUUUGGCAAUCUAUUAUUACUAAUUACUCUAGUAGUUUCUUCCGACAUUUGAGUUGCAACUGCCAAGGGACAAUCCUUUGAAAUAGCGUCACUCUUCUGCAAAAGAAUUACACGAAAAAACAGUUUCAGACUAACUGAACAAAUAAAAACCCCAAUUAGAAAAUAAAUACACAUGAAAAGAUCAGCAUGCCUUUUGAACAUCCGGGGUAAUUUCUUUAGGAUCAAUAGGCAUAUCAACCAAGAAAUCUCUCUCCGAGGAUGAUGGCAAAGGUGGAGGAGCCUGUCAAAAGAACACAAUAUUCAGAAUAUUUAUUUAAUAGAAAAAAGAAAUCAUAAGCCCAACUAAAGGAACAACUCUUAUAUGGCACACAUACCAUCAAAUCAAUCUCUGGCUUCGCUAUCUUCUUCGCCGCAACCCGGAUUGUUGCCUGAUCUCUGUAGCGGCACCAUAGAUGGACAUUGUUAUACAGAUGGGUUCAUGAGAAAGAAAGGAAAAUUAAAAGGGGAAAAAAGAAGAGAGAGAAAAUUUGGUAUACUCACGCUUUUGUCACUGUCGGAUCCUGAAUAUCACAAGCAUUUACUGUAACACAUGAUGGCGAUUCGGUUUCUUUUGGAGACCCCACUUUUCCUUUAUUCACAAAUCCAUCUUCUCCACCCACUACUAAUUCUUGAGCUGGGUCAUCAUCGUCGGCAAAUUUCUCUUUAUCAAUUCUUCUCUCUUUCUUCAAUUCUUUCACUGAGUCGGCCAAAGUUGUUUCACCACCCACUUUUAUUGAUUGCUCGUUUUGAACUAUAAAGGCAUUAUUCUCAUCUUUACCACCCGCAGCUUUUAACCUCUUUAAAUCUGUAAUCCCCACCAAAUUCACAUUUAUGAAGAAAAAUACGAGCAACAAUUAUGCACUGACUCCCGAAUAAACAGAUCACGAGAAAUAAAACUUACCGGCAUCAGCUGCUGCUGUGUCAGCGCUUUCUCUAUCAACCUUCGGCGGAGAUUGGGACUGCGACUGAGAUUGUUUCAUCAGAUCGAACAAAGCUUCAGCAACUUCGAUCUCGAUUUCAUCUUGAAUAACUGAUGAAGGUUUGGAAUUAGAUGCGUCACUCAGAACCUUCGUUCUCGGCUCUGCAGAUAUCUGGGGAGUCGCAACACAUCUCUGUUAAUAUUUGGAAAAUGAAAAUAAAUUGUACCAAAAAUUAAAUCCAUAAACAAGUGCUCACCAUCUUCUUCGUUGAAGCACCGGAAAAUGAUGGCGAACCACUGCCGGAACCAGUCAGACCCACUAUAGCCGGAGAUGAUGAAAAUCUCCGGCGGUUCAAGUCAUCACCUCCGACGCCGCCUGAAUUGCAGUAAUCUUGCAACCUCUUUGCAGAACCUAUAAAAAAUAGAUAUAUAAAAAAAAAAAAAAAACAUUAAACAAAAAAAGUAACAGCAAAUUAAACUCAACAAAUAGACCAAAUAUUCCUGACUUCUGAAAACAUACCAGAGCGAGCUCUCCGGGGUACAGGAACACCGAGCAUUUCAUCGCCGGCGGCUCUGACCACCGGCGACGACCGGAGAGUACGGAGGCCCGAACGGCUAUUAGACAGAGAAGAAGACGUUGGCGACAGUUGACUCGUCCGAUUUCGCUGAUGAAUUCUCGUCUCCUCUUCCUCUGCACAGUAUUCUUCAUCACUCGAGUCCGUACUCUCGUUCUCUCUAUAACUUUCACCACCACCGCCACCGCCACCGCCACCACUCCUCUGCAGCGCACCGUGCCUAUCAACUCUCCUUCUUUUCGCAAACUCUCGAUCCCGGACUUUCUUCUCGAACUGCUCUCGAUCUCUUAACCUCAACGUUUCCUGCAAUUCCACCUGUCUAUCCAUGUCUGUGAAAAAUAAAAAAAAUCGAUUAGAAAGCACUUAUCAAACAAUAAUCCAAUCCAUAUAUAUCUAUAAAAAAAUUCUAACCAGUUGAAUCUCUCAGAUUGAGAGCAGUAAUUUUUGGCCGUCUUCUCGGCAAACCAUUAACGGUAGAAAUGGUAGCUUUCCGCAAAUCUCUGUUUCUCUCCAUCAGCACUGUAAAUCUCCAAUCGUCAAUCACAGAACUCGCCGGAUUCCGACCAUUUCCGACGACGGAAAACACCGGAACAAACGAAAAUGAAAUCCGAAAAACUGCAAGCAAGCUCUAUGAUUCACCUAAACAAAUCGGAAACUUGUUGAAAAUCUCUCUCUGUUUCUCCUUUUUUUGCUUUGUUGUGUGCUCUCUCUCUCUCUCCUCACUUUUUUUAUUUUCUCUCUCUUCUCUCUCUCUCUCUAUCUUUCUCUGUGGUCUCAUCUAAUCUGUAGUUUGUUGUUUAUAAGUGUCACGCGAAACCUACUCCAGAGCCGAGAUGGACGGCACCGAUAUCUCUCUUGCCCUCGAGACGUCAUAUUCACCGCAAGAUCUGGUCUACAUCCAAGGGUCACGAUUAGCCGGUGCCAACAUGGCACAACUGUCACUUUCCCGAUUAUAAUAACCUGCUUUGGGCCCUCUUUCCGCCACGUCCCUCAUUUAUUUCCUAUUUAUUUCUUUUUUCCUCUUUUUUUCCUGUGGAUUUUUUUAUUUAUUAAUUACUCUACAAAUUAGCUUCCUCGAUUAUUUCAGAUUGUUUAUGAUAACAGUAACUAUUAGUACCUACCUUAAUUAAAUAAAAUAUAUGCACAAUCUAAUGUCGAUUUAAUUUCCUUAUUCAGAAUUUAUGCUACCAUAUUCAAUAUUUCAUAUCUCCUAUUGUGAAUUAUUUCGAAAAAUAUUUUUGGGAUUCAAUUAAAUUCCCUAAAUUGAAUUAUAUUACCUAUAUUGCAAAAGUUGUCAUUCAGAUUGUAUUAAUUCAAUUCAAGACACCUGUUAAAAGUGUUAAUUUGCUCGAAAUACGUAUCUGAUACUUAAAAUGCAAAAAGAUUUUUCAUAAUUACUAUAUGUUAAUUAUUUUUUUAGGAAUAUUAAAGUAUGUUAUUGAUAAUAAUAGUUGCGUAAAAGGACUUGAUAUGAUGAUUUUUUUCCUUAGGGACUUGGGAGAAAAUUCACCUAAUUCGAAGAAAAAAAGGAAUUUGCAAUACAGAUAAAGUAGAAUUGAUUUUAUUAUUAUAGUUGGAUUCUGUAAUUAAAUUAUAUAUGUCGUAUAAGAACAAAUUCAAUUAGAUCUCCCACUCUAUUUUAGAAGUUUUGCAGCUGCUAAUUUAAUUUUGAUAAUCUACAUCUAGUGCAGUAAACCCACACGCGCUAGUCGGAGCGUCGGCCAGAAACAUGGUUCACUAGCUACUGCCACUUUUAGUUGCCGUUCCGAUUCCCUGCUCUGCGAAAAAACUGAAUAAUAAAAGGACGAAAAUAUCUUACCUGCGCGUACGUUAUUGCCUAAUUGGCAAAAUUAAAAAUAAUAAUAAUUAAAAUAAAUAAACGACUAUAACAGCUCACGUGGGAUUCAGUAAGACGAAAAGACCGGUUCGUACCUUCUGCUGCUCCGCUUGUACCACAACCCGUUUUUUUCUCGGCGGGUCCCACCUCCUCGAAUAAAGUACUUCCGACGUGGCAGCAGGACGACAAUGUGGGUCCUACUAGAGCUGAUGUUGCGCUAUUUUUAAUAGCUCCGCUAGGAAGAGCGAGAUUAUCGCCGAUGGUGCUGCCGAAUCCGACGGUUGAGAUUUUUCUCCGAUAGGAGUCUCCGGAGCCGGAGUCGUUUCCCGGUCAAUCCACCGCGGCAGCUGUAAUGAAGCUUGAUAUAAAAAUAUAUAUAUUUGAUAUUUCCAAAUCCAAUAGUCAGUUAUUUGUCUUGAAAAUAUGUAUACGGUUUACUUAUUAGUACUAAAUAAAUAUAAGUAUUCUGAUAAAAUCAAAAAAUAAUUGAUCACAUAAUGGAAUUAAAAUCCACCGUGUCAAAUUUAAGACCAGAAAUUACUAUAAUAAUUAAUAAUAAUCACGCCAGGUAUUCAAUUUUUAUUGAAAGCCCCACUCCAGAAUAAGUGGGUCGCCUUGGAUCUUGUUAGCUGCACGGCCCACCCCACUUCGACAUGUUUCUUUUAUUAUUUUAACUUACUUAUAAUAAUAUACAUUAUUAUUACUAUUUUGUAAAAUUAAAGCUUAUUAAUAUUUACUGAGAAUUAAAAUAAAAGUUAAUUCUUAUCUCAUGUCAUAAAGAUUUAUUUUUGCAUGUAUUUAUUUAUUUAUUUUUUCUUGAUUUUUUAUCUAAACCGCAUGAAGUAUAAUCAAAUUUAACAUCAAACACAACCUUGUGCUUCACAAUAUAUAUAAACAGCAUCUUUGUUAGUUUAUUUUAUUAACGUAGUGGACGCCACAUGACAACCAAUUAUAUAAGAUGAUGAGAAAAUAAAUUAUAUAUAUUAUUUGGUCGUAGAAAAAGGGAAAAAAAUAAAUAUAUUAUAAUAUACGACUAAGUUAUUGGGUGAUCUAGAUUUUGUCCUUACAAUGUUGAUUUAUGUAUAAGAACAUAGUACAAUCUUACUAAUUAUAAUAAGGGUCCAUUUGAUAUACACCCCUCAUAUGGAAAAUAUAUAGGCAUAGGUCCACCCCUAAAAAUCUUUCUUUGAGAUACACCCCUGGAGAGGCAAAAGUACUAUUGUACCCUUAUUUGCAAUUUUCGCCCAACUGCAUUCAGUAUUUUCACCAACUGCAUUUAUCAUUUUGAACCUGCAUUUAAUAUUUUUGUACUGCAUAUAUCAUAAUUUUUAAUUUAAUAUUUUUUUAUUCAUGUACAUAUAUUGUAACUUUUUUUUAUUAGUAGUAUAUUUUUUUAUAAAAUAUAUUUUUUUUAAUAUUUCAAUUUUUUUAAUAUUUCAAUUUUUUUAAUAUUUCGAUUUUUUCAAUAUUUCAAUUUUUUUAAUUUUUUUAAUUUUUUUUUAAUUUUUUUAAUUUUUUUUUAUUAAUUCAAAUUUUAGUAAAAUUCCUGAACUGAAAGUAUAGUUAUAUAUAGUCAUGUAUUCUCUUUUUACCCCAAAAUUCAUCUACACUAAUAAAUAAAAUUCACAAUUUAGAUCUUGAUAUUAUAAAUCAACUAACAAACAAAAAAUAAAAAAAAUACAAUCACAUGCAUAUAUUCUUCAAACAUGAACACAUUAAAAAACCUAUAACAUACAUAUAACUAUAUGUUACUACAGAUGACUAUAGUUAUCUACAAUUAUCUAUAUUAAUAUAUAGUGACAUAAAGUCUAGACUACUGUAGCAUGAAUCCAACUUCAUUAGGCACUUCAUCGCAUCUUAUUCCCUGCAUAUCAUAAAAGCAUAAUAAAAGCAAAACCUGCGACAAAAAAAUACGAGUUAAAGAGCCAAAUGGAACAUGCGAGUUAGAUUGUAUGAAAAAUACAAAAAAACAUAAUUUUUUUUUGUUGAUAAAUUUACUUAACUGAAAUCGAAUACAAAUGACUAUAGUAUACUACAAAUUCUAUAGUCAUGUAUAGUAAUAUGUAGCCAUGACUAUAUAUGACUACAUAUGACUGUAAUAUAUGACUAUAAUAUAUGACUAUAUAUGACUACAUAUGACUGUAAUAUAUGACUAUAUAUGACUGUAAUAUAUGACUAUAUAUGACUAUAUAUGACUACAUAUGACUGUAAUAUAUGACUAUAUAUGACUGUAAUAUAUGACUACAUAUGACUACAUAUGACUGUAUAUGACUAAAUAUAAUUGUAUAUUCACCUGACUCAAAUCACCCAUUUAAACAUUUACAUUAUAAAUCAACUCAUAACCAAUAAAAUAAAAGUUACAGAUUAGCUACCUUAGCCAAAAAGCUACAAAUCUCCCAAUCAUUGCCCCAAAAACAAAAAACCCCCAAAAAAUUCAAACUCAAUGCCACUAAUUGUUACGAAAUAAAAAAUAUUUAUGACAAAAAUCAUUUAUAACAAAAAUAAACAACAUAAGAAUCAAAACGAAAUAAAAAAUCAAAUUAAUCCAAAGAAAAAUAUUUUAAUAUUAAUUAUUCACAGAUCUUAAAAAAUAGUAGAUCUAAUUUUAAAAAUAAUAGUAGAUCUAAUUAUGAGACAGCUAAUUAAUUAAAUCAAAAUGAUAAUAAUGUGAGGAUCUGAUCUGAGGAGAAUAAUGAAUAAUACAGAAGAAGAAAGUGACCUGUGUUGAUCUUUGUGGUUGGAUUUGAGAGUGUAUUUGCGGAGCGGCGGCAACGCUGCGAGGUAGGGGAGUGGCGACGGCGGCGUUGCGAGGUAGCGGAGCGGCAACAACGGCGCAACGAGGUGGGGGAGCAGCGGCGGCGGUACAACGAGGUGGGGGAGCAGCGGCGGCGGCGCAACGAGGGGAGGGAACAGCGGCGGCGACGGUGGACUGUGGGUAGAGCGAGAGUUAGAGAGAGAUGAAGAGAGAGAGAGAGAGAGAAAGGGAGAAAGAGAGAGAGGGGGGAUAAAUGUCGGCUGAUAGAUGUGGGAGUGGGAGUGGGAGAAAAGGCUAGGGUGUUAGGGUUUGAAUAAAAUUAAAAGGGUAAAAUAGGUAUUUUAAUUUAUCUAGGGGGGUCUAUCAAAUUAAGAUUAAAAUUUGGGUUUUUGACUAGGAAAGAAAAGUCAAUAGGACUUAUCCAUAUAUAUUUUCAAAACUAGGGGGUUAUCCCUCAUUUCCCCUUAUAAUAAUCUCCCACGUCGUAAAACAAUUGUUUAUAAAUUUCCAAACUUUCUAAUUUUAAAUUGAGUUACAGAAUGUAGAGUUAUAAAUUGAAGAAUUGGACCUUAUUGAAUAUUUAAUAAAUCCAAUAAUUUCUCGAACCCCGACUGUGACGAAAAUGGCACCUAUGUUGACUUAAUACGAGAUCAUUUAUUCAACUUCCUACGGUACAAAUCAUCAGAUAUAAUUGAGAAAUACAAUCAUGUCAAAAAACAACUUUAUCCUUGGCAAGAAAAUGUACAGUUAACGAGGAACAAUCGAGCAAGUUGAAGCACCAUACGACAUCGUAUUUCCCCAAAGUGCAUUUCCUAUGUACCACAUACACAUGUACUGGUUCUUAAACUUGUCAUAAGCAAAAAAAAAAAAAGGAAGAAGCAUAAGCAUAGGGGAAAAGAGCUUCUCAAAAUAUCUCUAGUGCUGGGAAUUCACAUCUCUACACCUUUGCAUAAAUCCUUCAUACUGUCAGCAACUCCUGCAAAAAAAAUUAAAAUAAAAUUGUAUCCUUAAAUUAAUGUCCCAGAUUGAAUAUAAUUUAUCAAUAUAAUGAAAACGACGAUGAAAAGGCAAGGAAGCUGAACCUUCUCUUUCUGUUUGAGGAUUGUAUCGAUCUUCUUCAUGUACUCAUCAGUCACUUUCUGUAAACAAACCCAAUAUCCAAUUAUCACCAAUACACAAACAGAAAAUGAAAAUAAAAUAAAGACAAUAAUCAAGAACCUAAUCUCGACACAGAAAAUAAAAGUCCAGAGAGAAAUUUGCUAGAGUUUCGUACUUCUGUCUGUUUAUUUUAUGAAAAUGAACUAAUUUAGGUACCUGCAAGUCAGCAGAGAGGUCCUUGACAUUAUCUUCAGAAAGCUUCUUCUCCUGCAAAAUACGUUUGUUGCUUAUUAUUACAAUAAACCUAUGACGUGGGCCGUGGGCCGUGGGGUGGGGUGGGGUGGGGGGUGCUAUAUUAGGCAGACCUUCUGAAGUUGUCGUAGGAUUUGAUGGCGUCUCUUCUUAUAUUCCUUAUAGCAACCUAAACAUUAAGAGCAACUUAAGAACAAGGCUGAACCAACAAUUGCGUAAUGUGGUUCGUUCAGAAUCUGUAGCAAAAAGGAAGUGUUUGUUACCUUGCCUUCUUCAGACUGCUUAGCCACAACCUUUAUUAACUCCUGCAAACCACAAAAUAACCAAAAUUUUAAAAAUUAAAAACAGAGCAUCUUGUGUUGCAUAAUGUAUAUAUAUAUAUAUAUAUAUAUAUAUAUAUAUAUAUAUAUAUAUAUAUAUAUAUAUAUAUAUAUAUAUUCGGGCAAUAUUUUGAGAAACAAUACAAAUUCAAUUAUAAACCAUUCGCUUAGCUACAAAAUACAAUACCUUCCUCCUGUCAGAUGUCAGUUGAGGAAGGGUCAAUCGAAUAACAUCUCCAUCGUUAUUUGGAGUCAGACCAAGAUCGGGAGAGGCCACAAUUGCUUUCUCUAUAGCCUUCAAGCUGUGUUAAAAAAAUAAAAAAUAAAAAAGACACUCCAAAUGUUAUUGGAUCGCACAAAUAAUAGAACAUUUAACUCCAGUUGAAGGAAACAAUAACUGCAUGCAACCCUUCAAUUUGUUCCUAUACGACCAACAUAGCAUGGAUGCGCUGACUAUCAGUAACCAAAAGUGUAUGGGAGGGGCAAAAUCGUACAUUUCAUUGUCACCACAUUUUAUAACCUAAUCGGAAAAAAAAAAAAACUUGAAUGCUAAAACUAGAUGUUUGUACUAGAAAUAUACACCUGGAUUUGUCAUAGGGCUGCACCAAGAGGGAACUUGAAUCGGGAGUGCUUAUCUGAGCUAUACUCUUCAACGGGACUGGUGUUCCAUAGUAGUCCACCUAAUAAAGUCCCGUGAAGGAAAUUCAAAACGGUAUUGGUGAAUAAAUUAAGUUAUCCAAGAAAUUAAAUGAAAACGAAAUAGAAAGACCUUAACACAAUGUUGAUGAAAGUAAGAAAUGACGAAAAUUGAAAAAUUCAAGAAUACACAAUAACGAUAUGGAAAACGGAAAACGGAAAACGAAAAAGAUAUCCCGUAAAAUAACGAUACGGAAAACGGAAAACGCAAAAGUCUAAUCGCUUGGGCGAGUUAGAUAGUAAGAUGUAUAAUACCUCGACUUUGUCUAGUAUGGAUGGGUUUGAUCUUCCGGUUCUGAUAGAAUUGAAACUGGUUUUCACAUUGUCAAUAGUCUUUUCCAUCUUUUCUUUCUGAAGAACAAUUAAUGAAUUAAUGAAAAUUAGUACUUGUAGGUCGUUUGUGAGGUUUCUAGAUGCAGCUAACUAAGAAAUUAAUCGGUAAAUAAUUAAAAUUCGUACAACAGCUUUUUCAAUCAUUGAUUUCUCCGCUUCAAUUUCUUCAAUAGUUGCGCAUUUCAACACUCCGAUUCUGAUAUAUUAAACGAGUUCAUCAGUAACACACUACUAACAAAAAAAAAAAAAAAAAAAAAAACCAUAAAACAAUUAUAGCAGACAAAUAUUUUAAGAACCUUAUAAACUUGCCUCUUCUUCCAUGUCUGCUUAACAACGAAGGGCUUCCCGGAAAACCCUCUCGCCGCCGACACCUGAAGCUUGACGUAAUUCGCCGACGCACUCCAACAACCCACAUUUCCAAAAUCUGCAGUAAAGCCAAAACUCAAACACGCACUCGUAUGAUAAAUAAUUAAUAGCCAGAGAGACGAGAGACGAAAAUGGAGUUUCUAGGAAAACCUGGGACUGAGAGACGGUUCUUGGGAAGAUUAGACGCGUAGCAAACGGUGCGUACGUGAGAUGCAGGCGAGAAUGUUGUCGCCAUAGGGAUGACACUCUAUGUGUUCGAUGAAAUGCCUCAGUUGAAUUCUCUGACUUUCUUUCUAUCUAGUUGAGGACGAGGAAUUGUGGAUAAGAGCGAUCCUUUUGCACUGGGACAUUCACCCACCAAAUACGCUAAUUCUUUGUGUAAAGAUUUUUGCCCUUCACGGCCCAAAUACAAAAUUGAAUUUCCUAUUUUACCCCUCGAGUUUGUAAAUAAAUUUGGAUUUCCUAUUUUAAGCGGGUAAAAUUAAGGUUACCAAUGAGGUAAUGUCAAAUUACGAGAAACCUCCUAUUUUUUUGUUAAUUCCAACCCCUCUCAACUACGAAUCGUCUCACGGUGUCAAAUUUAGCGGAAUCUUUUAGAUUAUAUGUGGAACAUUCUUUAGUUUGUACCCGUUUUACACCCUUCCAACUCCCUAUUUUGAAAUAAGAUAAUCAUAAAAUGCAUCUUUCGCCCUGUAAAAUAUCAGAUUGUGGUUCAUCUAAAACUUUAUUUUAGCAUAAAAUGGGUACAAACUAGAAAAUAUCUCACAAAAUCAAUACAUUCCGUUAAAUUUGACAUCGUAAGAGUGGACGUGCAAGAUAAUUUAUAGUUGAUAUAUGGUUGUAAUUACCUAAAAAAAGUUUUUUUCGUAAUUUGAUAUUGUCUCGAGAGGGUCACCGUAAUUUAACCUUAAUAUUUACAAGUAAAAUUAAGUUUCCCAUUAUACCCACAAGACUCUGAGAGACUCUAAGUAAGUACUAUAAUUUAUUUGGAAUUAGGCAUGUUCAUUUAGUAAAAUGGUGACCUAAAAUCCAUUACUCCAAAAUUUAAUAUCGUCGCGGAACUGAACUAUACAAUUUGAUUUAUUAGUCACCAAAAUAUGAAAAAAAAAUUGAAAAUGGUUGAUUCGAUCUAAUGAAUAUACACGUGUGUGUGAAUUUCUUAAUAAGAAACAAAUUUGUUUGUUCAUAUUUGCAUACCCUUAUAUCUUAAUCUCACACAAAUUCAAUGGCUAAUCACGUGUUAUCACAGUAAGACUAUUUCCCCUCCUCUUUUUUUUUUCAAAUGAAGCCAAAGCAAAUAGAGGUACAGUCACGUUUACAUGGUAAAAAUAACAUGCCAAAUCCCACUCACACUCAUGCAUAAAUUGUGACUCUUUUCACUGCACAAAAAUUCUUUCUGCCUUGUUGCACCAAAUAACACGUACUACCCCCUCUAUAUAAUGUGCAUUUCAACAACAUUUUUACUUAACAAAUUCAAUCAUGGGUGGGGUGUUAUUGUGGCUAUUGUUAAUCAUGAUUUCUAUUUCUGGAUUUUGCAAAGGUGCUGUGUACAAAGUCGGUGAUUACGCGGGGUGGACUAUUGUCGACAACAUGGAUUACAACAAAUGGGCUUCUUCCAAGACCUUUCGCGUCGGCGACACGCUUAGUAAGUCUAUUUCUUAUUUGCAAAAACGUAAAAUAAAUUAAUAAAUGUGCCCUUUUUUUAUUUUCGUCGAAAUUUUAUGAUUAUUUUUUUUUUAUUACGUGUAGUUUUCGAGUACGAUAAUCUGUUCCACAAUGUGUUGGAAGUGACCCGAUCGGAGUUCCACUCGUGCGACGCAGAAUCUCCAAUCGCCACAUACGACAGCGGGAAUGACUCGGUGGUGAUACGUAGCCCCGGACACUAUUACUACAUAUGUGGUUUAGAGGGCCACUGCCAGGCUGGACAGAAGGUUGAUAUAAGGGUGCCCAAGUCUAAUGAGCCCGCCAAAGGCCCAAUUCAAAGCCCGAUUCAAGUAACUGGUGGUGCUACCGCUCCAAAGGGCUCUCCUAUUGGUACAAUGGCACCAGGCCCAUCUCACAGUGGUGGAGAGUCUCUAAACAAUUGGCUGUUAUCUUACAAUCUUGGGGUUUUGCUUAGUCUUGUUUUGAUUUUCUAUUAACAUUGGGUUACUUUUAUUAGGUUUAUCGAUCGGCUUAUGUAUUUUUUGUUCCUGUAAUUCGGUUGCUAUUUUUAUGUAUUUUUAUUUAACUAGAAACCCGUGGAGGGUAAUUUGGUAAUUUUCUUUUAGUAUAUUAUGACGAUAUGAGUAUUCGUUUUCUAGCAUGAAACAAAUUCCUACAGCAGUGUACAAUUUUUCGAAUAUCGUGUUUAAGUUAAUUUGUUAGGCUGUUUUCUUCUCUUGAACGAGAAAAUUAGUUAUGAAAAACCUGCAGUUAUGUUUAAUUAAUUUAUCGAAAAAUUGUAUACCGGACAUUGGUUUCCAAUCGAAUAAUCGUAAAAACCAGUAUAAUAUUAUUCCAAAUUACAAAAUAUUGAAAAAUCAAAUGAAGCUUAAGUGACGUGAGGCAUCGAAAUCGAAUUGACUAGGAAAAUGGACAUAGUAACUGCAUAAUGAGUUGGAGUUAUUCUAUACCAAAUGUGUGAUAUAACAACGUUUGUGCUGUCGCAUUUUUUUAGCUGGUGGAGGUGUAUGCUUGUUAUUAAUGUGAUUGAAAUAUAGUGAAAUUGCAUUUCACCAAAUUUGCUUGACUUCUUCUUCUUUCAUAUCUGUUACUGUGAAACUCAUUUGCAUUUCACCAAAUUUGCACCGUCUUUGAAGAAAUUAAAUUAAGAUGAUACAUAAAUUUGUCAACAAUCAUUUUAAGUUCAGUAUUGUACGUUUUUAAUCGUCUCUAAUUUCCACCAAUUUGUUGCCCGAACCAAUUGUUUUUACAAUUUUGGAAAACCAAUAAAAGAAUAUUGGGGAAAGAACAUUUUUUUUUCCUACGCUCCCACACGUGCACCGCAUGCCCAGAUGAAGCCACUAUACACAAUAAUGUGUAGGAUUUUGUCGAUAAUUCACUCAAGUUGUUCACCGGAAAAGCAUCAGAAAAAACGUUUUUUUGCAGAUGGUAUGGUAGUAAGUAAAAAAUUGAAUAAAUAUAAAAAAUCAAGUACACUAGUAUCCAAUUUCCCCUGUAAAACUGAAAAUUAAAUCAUCCGUCAAUCUCACACGGAUGGUUUAACAUGUUAUUAGAUUCGAUCUCAAAUCAUUUGCCACCGUUUUAUAGGUAAAAAUGUAUUCAGUAGCCUAGUAUCGUUUAAUUUAAUCUCUCGUAUAAUUCGAGACAAAUAUAAAUUAUUUUUUUAUCCAAUGUAUUUCGAGUGGCCGGAAGAACCAAUUCAUCUCUAGAUACUACUCUCUCUAUAUAUAUACACGUAUACAUACGGUGAUACACACACCAACUCAUCCACUCAAUUCUUAAUACCGGCCCCCAUACCACACUCAUCAUCACUCUCUCCCGGACAAAAUUGCGUGAUAAUUAAACACUCACCGUGUGCGUGUUUUACUUGUGAAAAAACAAGUACAGCAUUUCAUCGAUCCCCAUUAAUGCGCUUCAGUAACUAAGCGUGACCUUUCAGUUUUUUACGGAUUUUUUUCUCUCAAAAUCCGCGUACCUAUACAUACACCUAUAUAGCUGUACCUCGUUCCUAAUUAAAACACUCUACUCAGUACUCUGCCGUCGGUAUUUUUAUUUGUUACGGUGUGGUGCAAUUUCAAUUUUUUCUCUGCAGUAAGAUAGUGAUGGAUUUGAGCAAGGUUACGCAGGAGAUUUUCACGAAGCUGGAGCAGAAAUGGCUGCACCACUGUGAAGGAAAGCGAACGCGUGUUUUGAGCAUCGACGGAGGAGGAACCACCGCCAUUGUCGCUUGCGCCGCUCUGGUUCAUCUGGAAUACCAGAUCCAACUCAAAACCGGCGAUUCGAACGCUCGUAUUGCUGAUUUUUUCGAUAUUGUUGUCGGUACAGGAAUCGGAGCUCUUCUCGCCGCAAUGUUAGUCGCCGACGACGGUUUUGGCCGGCCGAUUUACUCCGCCGGAGAGGCGGCUAAGUUCGUGGCGGAGAAUCAGUCGCAUCUCUUCAAAGUCAAAAACGUCGGGGUAUUCCGCCGGCGAAUUAGGUUUUCAGAGAGGAGCAUGGACGCGGUGCUGAAGAAGGCCUUCCGGAGAGAUGACGGCAGGGUUUUAACCCUCAAGGACACGUGUAAGCCUCUCCUCGUUCCGUGCUUUGACUUGAACAGCUCGGCGCCGUUUGUGUUCUCUCGAGCCGACGCCAUCCAGUCGCCCAGCUUCGAUUUCGAUCUCUGGAAAGUGAUCCGCGCCACGUCAGCUACGCCGUCGAUGUUCAAGCCGUAUCCGCUCUCGUCCAGCGACGGGAAGACCUCUUGCCUGGCGGUGGACGGCGGACUUGUGAUGAACAACCCCACCGCCGCCGCCGUCACUCACGUUCUGCACAACAAGACCGAUUUUCCGUCAGUAACCGGAGUUGAUGAUCUGUUGGUGCUGUCAAUCGGAAACGGCGCGUUAAGUAAUCCGUCAAGCAUGACAUUCAGCCGUAACGGCGACUGCUCGACGGCGUCACUCGUCGGCAUCGUCCUUGACGGCGUCUCGGAAACCGUUGAUCAAAUGCUGGGCAAUUCCUUCUGCUGGAAUCCUAACGAUUACAUUAGAAUUCAGGUAAUUUUAUUUAAUUUAAUCUAAUGUAAUUUCUUAUUUAAAAUUAAUUUUCACCUUUCAGUUUACGGAAAUAACUGUGUAAUUAAGAUCCCGACGGCGUUAUCUAAUUUGCAGGCUAACGGUAUCGCGGGAACAACGGAGGAGUUGUUGGAGGAGAGAGGAGUGGAGUCGUUGCCGUUUGGCGGGAAGAGGUUGCUGACGGAGACUAACGGACAGAGAAUCGGAAGUUUUGUGCAACGGCUUGUGGCGGCGGGAAGGAGCAGCCUGCCGCCGAGUCCGUGCAAGGAAACAGCCGUUAGCCCCCUAGUUAACGGCCGUUAAUGUUAAUUUGUUACCGUCUCUUCUUUAAUUUGUCCUUUUCUGUUCAGUUUUAUUAUUUUAUUAUUAGCCCGAUGUCAGUUAACUGUCUCUAUUGUCAACUUUAACCAGUAGCAGUGCACUUAAAUAAAACUCCUACAUAUAGUACUAGUGAGUAGUGAGUGACUGGCACUUGAUUAAAUAAAUCGACUCUGUUCUCUCUUUCUCUUCAAUUUAUUAUUAAUUACACUACUGAUUUAUUAAUCCAAGAGCCAUAAUAUAAAAUAUAAAACGCCAUUUAAUUAAUUAAAUUAGGAAAUUACAAGCUGGCAAUUGUUUUACAGUUUUACUGCUCAUAAAAGAUAAAACCACCUGAAGCCGACAAGAUUGGACUUAUCUUCAUUUAUCACUGUACGUUUUCUGGGCCAUGCUAUAAUCUAUAUAUACUCCGGAUUUUUUUUUUUUUUUUUUUUGUAAAUAAUUGCUUAUUAUUAAUUACCUAAUUGAAAAAGAACAAUGAAUUUUACUUAUGUCAAAUCAGUAAAUGUAUAAAUGUUAAAUUGAAGCUGGAGAAGUUAUGUCACAAAUAAUAUAUAAGCUAGAUUCUUCCCUAACAAAACUCCAACAACUUGCAUUGAGUCUAGUCACUCAAAUUAAAGUAUUUAUAUGUAAUAUAAAAAAAGAACAGUCACUAUGAAAACUAAAAAUAAAUAAAUAUAUAAAAAGAACAGUAUUUCGAAAACCUUUAUUUUUUAUUUUUAAUUAAUGCAGUUGAUGCCUGUAAACGUGGACGUCGUGAAUAUGCAGUGGAACCCCGUUAACGUCGGUGGUGAUGAAAACAUUAAAAACAUGGUUGACCAAUCACACGUGCGAAUGCUCGUCCAAGUCAAAAUUCGGCACUAGCUAUAUAAAUAUUAGUCAAAAUUAACAUAUGCAUGUUGCGGAUCUAAUUGAGUUUAAUUACUAAUUAAUUAGUAGUAUGGAGACCGACAGAAAAUUAGACCAACCGGUUUCCACCCAUUCCGGCUUGUCCCAAGAUCAUCCGCACGUGCGUCUAGCUCUCUAAAAGUAAUGUGUGUGUGUGUGUGUGUGUGUGUGAGAGAGAGAGAGAGAUUGAGAGCGUUUUGUCUGUGGUGAUUCAAUGUUUAUUUAUUAACCUAUUCAAUUACGUGAAUACUGUGUAGUGUAUGUAACCAGAAGAGAUAAAUGUAUGUAUACACAUAGGUGGACAUUUGGGUAUGGGUGCUGCUCAGCCUGCUCAACUAUUCAAUCUGCUUCGAUUUAACUCAGUUUAUCGUAUUUGACUAUAGCUCUGUAACUAAGCUAUCUAUGUAAUAUAAUAUUUUGUCUAAAUUAUGUAUUGAAGCUCUCGAAAAGGACCUUUAGCAAAUAGUAAAAACUCGUGUAUGUGUCCUUUUAGUCAUAAAAAAUAAAUUAUGAGGGAGGAGAUCCCUUGAUUAUAUUAUGCAUGCAUUUUAUUAAUAUAUUAAUUUAUAUAUUUAAGAUUCAAGAACUAUGUACAGAUGAACAUAUAUUUUAACGAUUGUUAUUUUUGCAUGAUUGCUUAGUUGAUGGAUAGAUAUAUGUUGAUAAGAUCUUGUCCCAUAACUAACGAAAUUUCACUGCCUUUUCAUUACAUAAUAAGGCCAAACAACUGUGUAAGGAUAGAUCAUACUCUUCUAUUACUUUUUCAUUCAUUCAAAUCACCGACUUCUUUUUCAUCCAAAAAAAAAUAAUAAAAAACUNNNNNNNNNNNNNNNNNNNNNNNNNNNNNNNNNNNNNNNNNNNNNNNNNNNNNNNNNNNNNNNNNNNNNNNNNNNNNNNNNNNNNNNNNNNNNNNNNNNNUUGACAUAACAUAUCAGUCAUUUCAUAUAUAUAUAUAAAUCACUUGGCAGUAUCUUGGAAGGCCGUGUUUGGUUUACCCUUCCAAAUUAUUGUAUCCGAUUCUUUGAGAAUUGAGAAAUUAUUUUGUACUUCAUUUUCUUUACUUUUCUUUUUCUUCUCGAAGAACGAUACUCGAUGAUAAUGGGGUUGGGCUGGACCUAAAUUAAAAUCAAUGCGUUCAUAACGAUUAACGAGAGUUUCAGGCAACAUGCAACGACAAUAUGAAACGAAACGGCUCUACCGAUUUGAGUAGACCGUCGAAAAUCAAAAUCAAUGGGAACAAUUGAACAUUUACAAAGAAUUGAACACUUAUACAAAUAAAUUCACGACUGAAAUUAAUCCAGAAUCAUAUGCAACAUCACUGCACGUUCGUGUGCAUACAAUUAAUUCAGUGCAUAUAUAUACAUGGAAUUUCUCGAAAUUGAUGUAAUUAUCAUCGGGGAAAAUAAAAAAAAUAAUAAUAUAAUUAUUUUCUACAGAAUCCCAUGUUAAUUUUGGCAUAUAUAUAUAUAUAUAUAUAUACACACGUGGCAAUGGAAUGAUGCUAUUCGAGGUUGGUUCGUAGGUGUACACUUGGAACACAUGCUGAAGCGGCGGACCAUCAUCUCUUGCUAUUACUUACUCGCAAAUUUACAACUCACGACUCUCUUCUACCAACAUAUAUUAAUAUAUAUUUAUUAUUCUCAAAAAUAAAUAUAUAAAUAUUUCGUACUGAAACCAUAUUGCAUGGCCAAAUAAUAAAUAAAUGGAUAUUUAAUUAUAAUUCAUUAUAGUAAAAUAUAUAGAUUCGUAUUCAACGUUGGUGUUGACCACUAACACUCUUUUCCAAUAUAUAUAUGCAUGCAGUAGCUAGUAGUUACUACAUGCAACCUAGUGACCUACUUUAAUUGAAGAUAAUUCCAAUAGAAUAAUCAAUUAUUUAAUUAGAGUUUUUUGUCCAAUUGUUAAUCAGUUAAUCUAAUGGUGGUGUGAUUAUAUAUAUACAAUAAUUGUGAAUUGGGAUACUAAUUAACCACAUCAUCAAUUGCAAGAUCAACUCGUUGGAAGUUGGAGCCUUCUCCUUCGCCGACACCACGUGGCUCAAUUAAAAAAUAGGGAAAUAAUUUUUACAAUGUAAUUAAAUGGUUGCUUUGGUAAAUGGAAGUAUAUUUCAAAGGUUAUACUCAUGCAAAUAACUUAUAAGCUUAAAAAAAUAUAAUGAGCAUUUGUAUAAGCUUAUAAAGAAAAUAAUUAAUAAAUUCAAGUUUUUUUUUUUAAAUAAUUUAUAAAUUAUUUUAAUUUGACUAAAUAAAUCUUGUUUUUAAAACCAUUUAAAAAAAAAAAAAAAAAAAAAAAGAGGAGGAGGAGGAAGAAGAAAAUUUAGUACUUAAAAGCCCACUUCUUAUACAUAGAUUCAUAGACUACAAACUAUUUGGGCCAAAUUAUUUGAAAGCCCGUCUCAGUAAAAUUCUGUUGAUGGAGGCCCACUUAUACUGACCUCAUUUUUUUGGGCUAGUCUAUGUUUACUAAGAGGUUUUACUAUUCACAGUGCGUUUUUUAUCUCUUGCAGUGCACUUUAACUCAUUUGUUGAUUCCAUAAAAAAAAAAAAAAAACUCAUUUGUUGAAUAACACUUUAGAGUUAUGAAUUUUUUUCAUGAUAUUAUCAAUUUAAAUACAACAAUUAUCAAUAUGGACGAAGUCGAUUGUGAUUUUGAAAUAAAAAGAACAUUUUUUUGUCAACAUGGCUCUAUUUUUUGAAAACGUUUUGGGAAAGCUUGACUUAAUUGUCUUUUUAUUUGGUUCUUCUGUAUUUAAUAAACUUUUAGGUUAAAUACGUCUUCGACUCGCCUAAAACCCAAACUGAGGUCACAACAUAAUACCUAUGACUUUACAUCGUAUCGCCAUACGACGUAGGGGUGAAAAACAUUUUCCCUUUGCUAGGGCUUCCUAUGUUCUUUUAACCGAUUUGGAUUUCUAGUUUUAGGCCGCCUUUCUUGGGCAUAAUUCGUGUCGUUUAUGUGGAUGAGGCCAAUAUGAACGACAUGGUCCAUAUCAUAUAUAGACACAAUAUACUUCUAUAUAUAUAUAUAUAUAUUUGUAGUUUGAUUUCUCUCGUAAUGUAUUAAUGUUCUUAGUUUUUUCACAAAAACAAAAAAGAAAAGAAAAUGCUAAUUUUUAAUAUUUUUUUUGAGAAAAAAAGAAAAUGCUAUUAGUUGAUGUUUAUUGUUUAGUAUUAGAUUUGAAGAACGCGGGAGACCAAGUUUUAAAAUAUUUAAAUAGGCGGGGGUAGGGUGAUUUGGUCCAAAGCCUUACCGCCAUUAAUCACAAAAUCCACGUAAUUCUCCCACAAAAACUUAUUUCACAAAACCAGAUCUCUCAUAUAGGUUUCCGAAAAUACCCCCCACACGCUCCCCACUCUCUCGCCCCCGCACACAAACCAUAAUAUUUUUCUCUCCCCUCCCUCAUCCCUUCUCAUGGAGAACCAGAACUCCGGCGGGCGCCACCGCGACCGUGAGCAGUCGUCGUCAACCUCGUCGUCAUCUCGUCGGAGUUUGAAGAGAAAGCUCGAUGAGGAAUUCGACGGAAGGAUCGACGAUCAGUCCCCUCUAGAUUUGCACCGAGAUCUUGUGCGAGAAGUACGCGCUCAAGUCGAGAUCCUCGAUUCCUCUUUCUCCUCCGCAGAGAAGGAUCGCGCAUCUGCCAAACACGCUAUAGGCGUCCUAUCCGAACUCGCCAAAAGCGGUAAUACAAAAGUUUUCAAAUAACAGAGAAUGGAAAUAUCUGCUUCCUCAAUUUCUUAGCGAAUUCGUUAUUUAAUUGGCCGUGCGCGGUUUUAUUGAGUGUUUAUGCGCUGUAUUUCGUGUUUGGGGUUUUGAUCCGUUAGGUAACGUUGCGCAUGUGUGAUUUUAGAGGAUACAGUGAACGGAUAAAAAAAUAAUUUAUUCUGAAAUUCUUCAAUUAAUUCGUUACUUUGUGCCUGAGAUUAGUUGAUGUUUAUUGAGUGUCAAUGUUUUGGAUUUUGAGUCUAAGGUUUUUUUAUUGAGCGUCAGUCUUUUGGAUUUUGAGUUUAAUUAAGCUUUUGCAUAAAAUGAACUUUGAAAUGUGUGGCUGCAGAGGACAUAGCAAAUGUGAUAGUGGAUUGUGCGGCUGUUCCAUCUUUGAUCAGGCAUCUUCAGGCUCCUCCGGUGAGUGAGGGAGAUAGUGGUCCAAGGCUGUACGAGCAUGAAGUGGAGAAGGGGUGUGCCUUCACGCUUGGGCUUCUUGCCGUUAAAGUAAUAAUAGUACUAUGUUUUUGUGGUUCUUUUUUAUUUCUUAUCCUAAUCAGAAAAUUCUUCGAAAUGAUAUUAAGUUGUUAUAAUCUUAUUAUUAUUCCCUAAAUUUUUUAUUUCUUAUCCUAAUCAGAAAAUUCUUUGAAAUAAUAUUAAGUUUUUUAGUGAUAGGUUGUUCUGCAAAUCUUACUGUAAAACGUUCUGUCGAUGCAGUUAUGAACCAUGGAGGUCUCUGAUUCAGUUUUCUGCUAUUCUCAAAAUCAUUUUUCUCAUUCAUAAAGAAAGAUUACGCACCUUGUCAAUAACAGAAUUUAAUCUAGUUUAAUCAUCUUUGAAUAAACAAAUAAGUCUGCCGUGCAUCAAAAGAAUGGGUGCGUAUAGUGGUGCCAAAUGUUAAGAACUUGCCUUGAUUGGAAAUAUUUCUUGAUCAUUAUAUAUUUGAUCGAUAUUUUUUAUAGAACAUAUUGAGCUUUUCCAGCAUUAAUGUUAUUGUUAAACUAAUGAAAGGAUGACCACAAAUAGAAAGAUUACAUCACAGUUACUGAAUAUAGGUUGAAUAUCUUUGUGUUACGCGUCACUCAUAUUUUUUGUCAACCUACCACUUUGUUUCACAGCCAGAGUAUCAACAGCUCAUUGUGGAUGCGGGAGCUCUACCCCAUCUUGUUGAUCUGUUAAAGAGGCAUAAGUUAAACUCGCGGGCGGCAAAUGGCGUUAUUAAGCGAGCAGCUGAUGCAAUCACUAACCUUGCUCAUGAGAAUAGCAGCAUUAAAAUUCGUGUUAGGUUGGUUUUAUUUUGUACUCAUGUGGUUGGAUAUUUGUGUUCUGCCUGUUUUUUAAUACUCUAAUUAUGUGCUUAGGGUUGAAGGAGGUAUCCCUCCUCUUGUUGAAUUGCUUGAUUUUGCUGAUCCAAAGGUGCAGAGAGCGGCGGCUGGAGCCCUUCGAACCCUUGCUUUUAAAAAUGACGAGAACAAAGAUCAGGUAUUUUGACUCAAAGUAUAUGAUGAAGUAUCUGCCUAUUUUCAUUUUUACCUUUAAUGAUAUUUUAUCGAAUUUCAGAUUGUAGAAUGCAAUGGUUUACCUACACUUAUACUAAUGCUGCGGUCUGAGGAUGCUGCUAUACACUAUGAAGCGGUUGGCUACUGUUAUAUCCCUUUGCAGUUUACUGUGCCUUUAUUUAAAUAUCUGAUAUUCUCAUACUACUGUGCCAAAAAACAGGUUGGCGUUAUUGGAAACCUGGUCCACUCAUCUCCGAGCAUUAAGAAACAAGUUCUUGCUGCUGGGGCGUUGCAACCUGUCAUCAGGUUACUUAGGUAUGAUUGAUGUAGGCAUGCUAUGAAGGCUAAUAUCUUCACUGAAAACAUAUAUGCAAGGAUCUUUGUUUUAUUUGAUUGUUAACUGAUGCCGCCUAUGAUAACAGUUCCUACUGUUCUGAGAGCAAAAGAGAGGCUGCGUUGUUGCUUGGGCAAUUUGCUGCAACAGAUUCAGACUGUAAGGUUGACCUAAAUACUUUUCUGUUUAAAAACAGCAUCAUAUUAAUUGCAUAGUAAUCUCUGAUUGUAGUCCUUGUUGAGAAAUCUUUUAAUAAUUCUUUUGUAGGUGCACAUUGUUCAAAGAGGUGCUCUACAGCCUCUAAUACAAAUGCUCCAGUCACCUGAUACUCAAUUAAAGGAAAUGUCAGCCUUUGCGCUAGGGAGGUUAGCUCAGGUAACAUUUUCAUUUAUUUCUUUUUGGUUCCGCUGUUUUCCACCUUCAGUUACAUUUUCAAAGGUUUACUCUGGACUCAUUACUGUUUCUAUUAUAUUAUUUGAUGCUAUUGCAGGAUACUCACAAUCAAGCUGGUAUAGCCCACAGCGGCGCAAUAGAGCCCUUACUGAAGCUUCUUGAGUCAAAACAUGAAUUUCUACAACAUAAUUCUGCAUUUGUUCUUUAUGGGCUUGUAGAGAAUGAGGUAUUGUAAAAGAUAAUUAUUCAAUUUUUCGUUUUAGUAGUAUAAGUUUCAUGAUUUUAAUCGGUUGGACUAAUUGUUCCUUCUUGUUCUCCCCUCCCUUAUUCUUUGUCCCAUCUCUUCUAUAGGAUACUAUUGCAGAUCUUGUCAGAUUUGGGGGCGUUCAGAAACUUCAAGAUGGUGAAUUUAUUGGCCAAGUAUAAUCCCACACACCUUUCACUUUGAGAAAUAUCCAUUAUUGUGUUAGUCAAGUCACAAGUAGCAUUAUAUACUUUUACUGAAAAGUGACGUCAUAAUCCUUUUGCUGCAGCCAACUAGGGAUUGCGUUGCCAGAACGUUGAAAAAACUUGAAGAUAAAAUUCAUGGAAGUGUGAGUAAUUCACUUCUACACAAAAUUUGAUUUAAUGGAAUUGAGUUUGAAGAACACAAAGAUAGAAGGACUGCAAAAAAAAAAUGCUAAAACAGAAUGAUAUAAAUUGGUUUUUUCAAUUGGGCCUCUUUACUGAUGCAAUGACUUAUGUUGGAUCUUUAACUUAGUUAAUGUUUCCAUGGGCAGGUAUUAAGUUAUUUAUUGCGUAUGAUGCGUGUGGGAGAGAAAAAAGUUCAAAGACGAGUAGCUUUGGCUCUAGCACAUCUCUGUAAUCCAGAUGACCAGAAAACCAUUUUCAUAGAUAACGAUGGUAUACUAUUUAUUAAAUUGAUUAUUACUGUCAGUGUUGUGUGUCUCAGCAUCUAUACACCACCUGCCUCACCUAUCAUAUGUUCUUGCAGGAUUAACGUUGCUAUUGGAGCUUCUGGAAUCGACUAACUCAAAACAUCAAAGAGACAGCUCUAUUGCUUUAUGUAGGUUAGCUAAUAAAGCAAGCUCACUGUCUCUAAUGGAUGCAGCUCCUCCUUCCCCAAUACCUCAGGUUAUAAUUUGCAGUUUCUGGGGUUGUUUUGUAGAAAAAAUAAAAUAAAGAAUCAAGUGGUUUUGUGGGGGAGAGAUUUUCUGCUGUUCUUCUACGAAGAUAUUUCCUCAAUUCUCUCUACAAACAUCUAAUAAUGCUACACUGCUGCAGGUCUAUUUGGGUGAGCAAUAUGUAAAUAAUCCUACACUGGCAGAUGUGACAUUUUUAGUUGAAGGUGGAAAUCUUUCUACAGCUUCUUGCAUGAUUUCUAUGUGCAUAACUCAUGCUAAACAGUUUUUUUUUAUUGAUCUCGUCAUUUUUAAUUUUCAUCAUCAGGAAAACGGUUCUAUGCACACAGAAUUUGUUUGCUUGCUUCUUCCGAUGCAUUCCGGGCUAUGUUUGAUGGUGGUUAUCGGGUGAGCUAUUAUUGAUUCACGGUCUUUGGUUUAUCUCUUUGCUAUGAACAUAAAGUCUGCUUGACUGCUUUUGUUAAUCUUUUUAAAUAAUUUUGCUCGGUCGUGAUUGCAGGAAAGAGAUGCUAAAGACAUAGAGAUCCCGAACAUUAGAUGGGACAUUUUUGAGCUGAUGAUGAGGUGAAUGCUUUAUAAUACUACAACAACUCUUAGCUUUUGUAAUAAAAUUACAACUCAAACCAAUUGAUUUGUGAUUCUAACUCUUUUUUUUCUGUCUCUUUUUUUCGUAGGUACAUUUACACGGGAUCCAUUGAUGUAAAGUUAGAUAUUGCACAGGAUCUUCUGAGAGCUGCUGAUCAAUAUCUAUUAGAUGGUCUGAAGCGUCUGUGUGAAUAUGCCAUUGCACAGGUAAGUUCUGAUAACCGAAAUACGUAUUAUACUCUCUAAAUCAAUAUCCUUAUUUGUGUCUGAUAUUCGGUUCUUUAUCCAAAAAGGAUAUAUCCGUGGAAAAUGUAUCCCUCAUGUUUGAGUUAUCGGAGGCGUUCAAUGCAUUGUCAUUGAGGCAUGCUUGUGUUUUGUUCAUUCUAAAAAACUUCGACAAGUUGUCCGUCAUGCCCUGGUAUGUUUUACUAAUUUACCCCUGCUUCAUCCUUCUCUUUCUCAAGUGUGCUAGUUGCUGACCUACUUGACGGGUUGCAGGUAUUCUCAGCUUAUCCAACGUAUUUUACCCGAGACUCGUAAUUACUUUGUAAGAGCGCUGACUAGACCUGACCAGAUGGUGAUUUAACGUGAUAGCUGACUUGGGCUGAAGUUUUGAUACUGAUCUUUGACCAAUUAGUAACGCAGGAGAAUGUAUAGAAGUGGACUAGUUUUUUUACCUUUGAAUUGGUGGUUUAAUUGAUCAAACAAAACGAUGAGCCACUUUGUUUUCUAAUUCAAUUUUUAUUCAUAUACGGAUUAGUUCUGUAUCUGACACUCUCGACAUGAGUUCUAAGUCAAUCUUAGAUAUAACUUGUUCUUCUCACUGCUUAUUAAAUGUUUAAGAUUAUAUCAUAAUGUGUAUUAUACUGUACAUGGUGUCGUUUUCAUUCCCCUACAAACAAAAUUUGAGCUGAUUGAAACUUGCGAUAAAGAUUACGAUAUUUUAUUGUACAGAAAAUUUGCGUGGAUAUGUAUCAUUCUUGACGAGAUUUGAGUGCAUGGUGAUAUUCUCUUCUUAACCUAGCUUUGUUCGGCCAGCUCUCUUCCACUCCACACGCGUGUGAUUGAGCGCUCAACGGGGCCACCUGCGGCUUCUUGUUUGAGGAGGGCACAAUAUUUUCGAAACGUCUGUACACUAACGUGAAGUCUGAAAUCUAGAGAGAAUAAAAAUUUCAUCUCCAAUUUGUUCAGUUCUGCUGUACUUACGCCUCCCACUCUAGCGUAAUAGGCAUUGUUGAAGAAUCUGAAAUUUAUCACAACUUAUUAGAAGCAAGCAAACAGACAAAACAUGACUAUAUCACUAUACAAGAGAAUAAAAAAAGAAAAGAAAUUAUUUAAUCAACUUACGCAUCGUCGAUAAAUUUUGCAGCCACCAUUACGCUUGUGAUAAGGAGCCGGUGAAUAUUGAGGGAAUUUAAUGAUAAAUUUGUCCGCUGCAUAAACCGAUCCAUAUAUAUAUUUGCAAUAACAAAGCACGAAGGGCUGCAGCACGAAUACUUAAAAAUCCGAUCGAUGUACUGUUCGAUGCUCAGAGAAGGUGCACAUAAGCCAUGAAAUAUGGUGAUAACAUCUUUCGUAUCUGAAGUUUCCAUUGUCCUUUCGUUUUUCUGAACAGAUCUCUCCAAAAACGUCGAGAGAAGUGAUAAAACUCCGGGUUUUCCUAUAUUGUCCUUUCUCGAGCCUUUUAGCCCCAAAGCUGCAUAUUCUUUUGAGCAUAAACUAUCGGUUUCAAUUGUCACUGUUCCCAUUUUCCAAUAAUACCCUUCUGAGCAUAAACUCCCAAUUCAGGAGCCAAAUUUCGGCAGCAAUCUACGCUGAAAAUCGUUGAUACGAGUUUACCGUUAGAAUUCAAGAGUUAACGAAACUAUGAUUUCGACUUGUCAAAAAUAUCUCUGUAUAGUAUAUAAUACCUGAAUUCACUCUUAACAAACCCAUGUAGAAAACAUUUAAGAAAUUCAAAGUGUCUGCGAUUUCAAUAUCCAGUCAAACUCAUUAAAUAACUUAUAAACCGUUGAUUAGAUUUAAUUUCUACUUGUGUAGUUUUCUGUACAAGUAAAACAAACAUAAAUUCAAGGGCUUAUAACUAAAUACAGUAGAACGCGAUAAAUUAAUAUUCGAUAAAUUAAUAGUUUCUCUCGGUACCGAGUCGACUCGGUGAAAACGUGUUCAAUUAUUAACUCGGUAAUUUAAUAAUUCGCUAAAUUAAUAGAAUUUUCCUAGUCCCGCCAGUAACUGUAAUCUGUAAUCUAUCUCUAAGAUUCAUUACAACAAAGAUCGGCAACAUACAAUAAUCACAAAUCGAAACAGAGCCUUUGUUCUGGAAACUGAAUAAGAAAGCCACGUCACAUCCAAGCGCAGCAUAAAAAUUGAAUCGAAACUAAACGGAAUGAAAUUCAGACAAAAUUGGGGAAGAAGAAAUUAAAGCUUACAGUGGGUAAUUGACAGAUCUGGAGCUCCAAUCUUCCACAUUCAUGAAAAAAAUGGCGGACUGAAUUUCAAGCAGUUGUUUAUCAUCACCACCUUAUAAACUAGUUUAUUCCUCCUACAUGAAUAAAGUUAGAUUCAUUCGACGAACAAGUAAGAAAUAUAUGCUUAUCCCCUUUUCCCAAAAAAAGAAUUGGGUAUCUUUUAGGUCACUCAACAUGGGAAACGAACCCCGCACCUAUCUUAUACUCCAUCAUCUCACUAUGCAUUUGUACGUCGUCCUUUUUAUCUCCAUUUAAUUGUAGUAGUAUGUAUGUACAUUAUUGAUUAUACACUGCACAUGGAGAUACUCUCCCCCCUCUCUCUCUCUAUUUCUAGAGAGAGAAGAUAUAUGGGGUGUCGGGAAAGUAGUGUCGGUAGUUUUUUGUUUUCUUUUUUGCUGACGGUGCGGCGUGGCCCGGGGUAGUGAAUGCAUUUCCUAACCCUUACUAAUUAUUUUUUUAAUCUCCUACCUAAUUUAAUAAUUUUAUAUUUGUGAAACAAAGUCGAUCUAUCAACCAUUCUUAAGAAAAUUUGAAUGUGAGUCAAUUAACACCGAUUCAAUUGCUCCAACUACUAAAUCAUCGGGACUGAAGUCUAGUAAUUACAAUCUUGAAUUAUGAGGUGAUUGACCUUUUAAUGAAUACCAAAUCAGACCACACUUGACAAAGUAGUAGAAUGUUUAUUUACUGUAGUGUGCUGCUUAGGACAUGCACUAAUCAAAUUAUGUUGGACAACUAGUCAGCCUUUUUUCUGUUACACCUAACUAAAAAAAUAAUUAUUUUUUCUUCUCCUAUUUUAUUAUUAAUAAUAAUAAUUGAAAAAAGACUAAUUGAGAUUAAGACUUUUUUGUGGGCUUAUGGUGGAAAAAAUGGGCAUCAGAUCAACUUAAGAAAGAAGCCCAUUCAAUUUGGGCCAAUCUUUAAAUCGAAUCUUAUCCGAAAUGAAUUUUCACAAAACAGAAAACCUACAGCGGGAGUUUUCACUCCUGAAUUUCUCUCCCCAAAUUCAAAAAUUUCAACUUUACAUUUUUUUUUAAUCUUUCCAUUCAAAUCUUCUUAUUUGAGCACAUUAAUUCUCAGGUUUUAUUUACUGAUCUCACUUUUACUGUCAACCCCCUCUGGAUCUCUUUACUCCUGUUCAUUCGCGGCGUUUUCACGCUCCCUGUUGACCGGUAAUUUUCCCUUUUUUUUUUUGGUUUAUUGUAUGGAUUAAUGGUGUAAAUAUCUGCGGUAUUUAUGGAUCUGUUCAAUCAUCUGUUGUGGUUGUAUAUUUUUUAAUUUUUUUUUGUAAUUUUUUUUAUUUGCUCCAGUAUUUGUUUGCUUCUUCAUAGUUUGAAAUUGUUCGCCGACGAGUUUGGGGUUACUGCAUUUAUCAUGUUUGACCUAAUUUCCGGUGGUGGAGGAAUAUUAGAAGUAAUUUAUUCAUCCAUGUAUUCUCCGGCAAUUCAUUUUUUUUUUUCUCUUUUUAGGUUAUUUGGACAUGGAAUUUUCCACAUUGUCUGUAAAGCUAUGGCCCCCUUCCCAAAACACAAGGCUAAAGCUUGUCGAGAGAAUGACCAAAAAUCUUGUAACCCCAUCCAUUUGGUCAAGGAAGUACGGUCUCUUGAGUCAAAAAGAAGCCGAGGAUGAUGCUAAGCGAAUCGAGACUGCAGCUUUUGCUGCAGCCAACCAGCACUUCGGAAAGGAACCGGAUGGAGAUGGAAGUUCGGCUGUGCAGUUAUAUGCAAAAGAAUCCAGCAGGCUCAUGAUUGAAGUUAUCAAACGAGGCCCCAUUGCAAAAUCAGACGAAGAACUCAGUAUACUAGACAAAAUUAAAGAAUGCGAUGGAACUACUUUAGAUAUAUCCGGAGAACCUAGGAAAAUAAUCAAUGCCGAUGAUGCUGAGAAACUGCUGAAAUUCUUGAAGGAGCCUGGAAAUAAAUAUACGAAGAUAUGUUUUAGCAAUACAAGCUUUGGUCAUGAGGCAGCACUUGUUGCUCAGCCUAUAUUGUCGUCCAUUAAGGGUCAAUUGAGUGAAGUAGAUUUAUCAGAUUUUGUAGCUGGUAGGAACGAGGAGGAAGCUCUUGAAGUCAUGAAUAUAUUUUCGUUGGCUCUAGAAGGUUCCGAUCUUCGCUAUCUUAAUUUGUCGAACAACGCUUUGGGUGAAAAGGGUAUUAACGCAUUUGGGGCGCUUUUGAAGUCACAGUAUAAUUUGGAGGAGCUGUAUCUGAUCAAUGACGGCAUCUCGGAGGAAGCUGCAAUGGCGGUUUCUGAUUUAAUUCCUUCUACCGAUAAACUUAGGGUCCUUCAGUUUCAUAACAACAUGACUGGUGAUGAAGGGGCCGUAGCUAUAUCUAAAAUGGUGAAUAAUUCUCCUUUGUUGGAAGAUUUUCGAUGUUCGUCUACGAGGGUGGAAUCUGAAGGAGGUAUUGCACUGGCUAAAGCACUUGGAAAAUGUAACCACUUGAAGAAGCUUGAUUUGCGUGACAAUAUGUUUGGUGUUGAUGCUGGAUUGGCUUUGAGCAAGGCGGUAUCUGCAUUUAACGGUCUGACUGAAAUAUUUCUCAGCUAUUUGAAUUUUGAGGACGAGGGUUCUAUUGCUCUUGCGAAUGCCCUAAAGGAAUCUGCACCAUCGUUGGAAGUUCUUGAUUUGGCUGGAAAUGAAAUCACUGCUAAAGCUGCUCCUGCUCUCGCUUCCUGUAUAGCUUCUAAACAGUUUCUUGCAAAACUGAACUUGUCUGAAAAUGAGUUGAAGGAUGAAGGUGCUAUAUUUAUUGCGAAGGCGCUCGAGGAGGGUCAUGAUCGAUUAUGUGAAGUGGAUCUUAGUACGAAUUUGAUAAGAAGGGCUGGUGCAAGGCGAUUGGCUCAGGCUGUUGUGAAUAAACCGGGACUUAAAUUGCUGAAUAUCGAUGCCAAUUAUAUAUCGGAUGAAGGGAUUGAUGAGGUGAAAGAUGUCUUCAAGAAUUUCCCUAAUGUUCUCGGUUCGCUGGAAGAUAAUGACCCGGAAGGAAAAGACUACGACGAAGAGGAAGAGGAGGAAGAGGUAGGUGGCGAAGAUGAAGAUGAAUUGGAGUCGAAACUCAAGGGCCUUGAAAUCAAACACUGAGGAAUGAGAAGUCGCGUAAUACUCUUUUAGGUUAGUGUCACAUGUUUCGUUUGUUUCUAGGAUUCUCGAGUUGUUUGUAUGAGGGUCAGCUUGAAUGUUUUGUGCUAGCUAGGAACGAUUUUCCUGCGUUCGUGUUUACUAGCUCUUCUACGCUUGAUGCGAGUAUGGACCUAAUAUGCAGAUGUAUGUUAUUUGAUGAAUUUUGAUUUAUUUCCGGAAUAUCGGGAUUGCCAAUUGUUAUGAUUAACAGAUGAGCAGUUUACAUACAAUCAAAGCCUUGCAAAAUUUUCGAUAAAUAGUGAUUUGCUUGGGUAAAAUCAGCAAUCACACUGCCACGGGUACUUUGAGUGCUUCUAGAAUCUUGUCAUCCAACUCAAACUGAAUCUGUUUCUUGUCUCGACCAAUCUUAACAUACUCAUCAAACCGUUCCUUCAAAUCCACCGUAAGAUCCGUUGUACUACUCCAUCCAAGUAUCUCCUUUGCAGCUCUCGGCUCCGCAUAGAAAUGCUGCCAAAAAAGAAAAAAAGAGAGGUUAUAAUAUUAAAAAAGAUGAUAUUUUUUUGAAGGGGAUAUUUCAAGAAUUAUUACCAUGUUACGGAAAGGAAACGCUUUCUUUGCAUCGACCCCCACUUUCUUGGGAUCGUAGUGCACAAUUUCAACAGGCAAACCAGCAGCUUUAGCACACAAUCUCGCCAUUCCAUCGAGUGUGACAGCUCGUUCGCUAACACAGUUGAAUAUGUUUCCCUUUGCUGCUUCUGGCUUUUCAACCGCCGACGUAAGAAUUGACGAUAAGUCCCUCACAUGUGAUAUGUUUGUUAACUGCAUCCCCGAUCCAGGUAUCAAGAUUGGCCUACCUCGAACAAUACCUGCCAACAGUCGAUUUAACGUUAGAUAAACCACGAUUAAUUAAUUGAAUAAUUGAGUUUUAUUUUGAUGAAAAGUACUUACGGUCGAAGAACCAUUCCUCACAGUCUUUGUUGUUGCCAGAGCCGAUCAUGUACUGUGGGCGGAACGACGCCCAAUUAUCGAAUGUCUCCGAGAUGUAUUUCUCGACUACAACAUGGCCAGCAUCUGCUUUGACAGCAUCCUGUAAAAUCAAGAUUUGUUCUUAUUAUUAUAAUUUUUUUCGAUAUUUAAAUGUGAGGGAUCGAAAGGAAUAUACCCCUUCAACAUGAGGAGGUUCUUCUGUUGCCUUGUAGAUUCCUGCACUACUGAUGAACAGAAACUGCUUUGCACCACUGCUCUUGGCCCAAUCUGCUACAGGCCUGUUCAUGUAUAAAAUAAUCAUGAUUUGUGAAGCCGAUUGAUUCUCAGUUCGAACUCGAAUUCGUAUCGAUUGGGAUUUUCGUAUAUAAUUUAGGAAACACAAACCUAACGGCAUCCAAAUCUUUGCCAUUGUUAUCCAACACCACAUCAAAUGCAGUACCCUCGAAUAUUUUCCCGAUAUCUGCCGGCUCUCCCCACACAAUCUUGCCUCCACCACUCACAAUUUCCUAAAAUACCCCUGUUAAAUUAGCAACAAAAACGGAAUAUAUAUUUAUUUAUGUAUAUAUUUUUUUUCAUGUGAAUAGAAGCUUAACUGAAAAUCUGCUGAACGGGGGCUUCUUCAUCUUGUCGGAGGCCUCUUGACCGACGGUCAAGAUCGUGACAGCGUGGCCGGCGGCGAGAAGUUCCUUGGCGAAGUAGAAGCCGAUGACGGCAUGGCCGCCGCUGUUGGUGUUGACAAUGAGCACAUUCUUCUUCUCCGCCGUGACGGUGAAUGAGGUGGGAGAAGACGAAACUGCCCUUCUCGGAGAGUUUUUGGAGAUAGCGAGGAAAGAUGGGGAAAUGGAGAGAGAAGAGGAGAGAGAGUGACGAGAGGGUGAAGAGAGAGAAAGGCGUGGGAUAGGAGAGAGAGAAGAAGAUGAAGGUGAAGAAGAGAGGGUGGAGGAGAAGAAGAGGAGAGAGGAUGAGGUGGAAGCAACUGCUGUUGCCAUUGGAACUUUUCUUGAUGAUUGAUUGUGUAAGAACCAGCAAUUUUUCUUUUCUUUAUAUUAUUGGAUAGAAAUGGAU
This 74027-nucleotide long non-coding RNA is filed under the name Erythranthe guttata (spotted monkey flower). RNAcentral's name for it is "long non-coding RNA (EGUT_LNC000035)". Lineage: Eukaryota; Viridiplantae; Streptophyta; Magnoliopsida; Lamiales; Phrymaceae. The record is from RNAcentral.